AGUUUUUUUUGUGGAGCAAUUUCAAUAAACAAAAAUAGUGUAGCUUCACUUGAGACUUGCCUGGAAAAAUCCCCAUUCUUUGCAAGCAAAGUCGAGCUUGUCAGUCUCAGAAUCCAUGCAGGUUGGAGAACACAAAAGACACAUGUCUAUGAUUGGGAUCUGGUUUCUUAGACCAGAAUCCACGGCUAUCUCAGCUUUGUCUUGAUCAGACCGUACAUACCUCGGAGGAACCGCCGUGAUCAUAUUCUCCUUCACCAUCUCUUGAACAGAAGGAACUAUAAUAGAGCUUUGGGUUGCUCUUUGACCUUCCAUGGCCGCUUCUUCUUGAAAGAUAAUCUCAAAUCUAAAUGAACACUAUAUGUUUUAUAGAGCAUUGGAUGACAAAGUCAACUCAAUUAAGAAACAAUGUCACAUGAAUGAUUACAAUGAGUGAGAAAAAAAUAUUCUAAAAUUUUAGUAAAAAUUACUCUGAUUUCCAUAGAAAAAUAAAUAGCCAGUCAAACCCAAAAAAAAUAAAAGAUUCAUGUCUUUGGCCAAUUCAUCUGUCAGUCUAACAAUGAGUAAAAACUUUUAACUGUGAUUUUUCCUCUAACAUUUACUUUUCUUUUCUUCUCAUUUUUUCCCUUUGAGUUCCUCUCUUUUACUAGUUAGACCUAAGAAAUUUGGAAUCAUAAUCUGUAGAAAUUUUUGUACAAAGAAAAAUAAGAACUGUCAAAAGAAAAGCAAAAUAAGGUACAGAAAUCAAUUGCUAGUCCAAAAAGGUUUUGGCGUUUUGCUUAAAAGAGUGGAGCAAUUAGUGAAAUACGACGCCGUUUAGCAGUUUGUUGUUUCUCUGUGGACCACACAUUUGAACGAGUCUUCGUCACUCGUCAGUCUCCACCACAAUUCCUCUCUCUUUCACCGCUUCGAGUUCAUGGAAUCUACUCAUUCAUUGAUUCUGUUCUUCCACCGUCGUCAUGGCGUUGCUCGCUCUUCCACAUUUCAUCCCUCACCGUCUCCGGAGGAACCAAUGCAGAUGUUGUUUGUCUUCGGCAACGAAUGAAGGUUCCACGGCGGUUGUGUGGUUUAAACAUGACCUUCGUGUUGAUGAUCAUCCUGGCCUCCUCGCUUCGUCCAAGCACAGUUCCGUCAUACCUCUCUACGUCCUCGAUCGUCGCAUUCUCUCGAGUAAGUUCAUUCGGACAUUCCAAAUAUUAAAUCGAUUACCGGAACAAAUUCGAAAUUAUCUUGCUCUUGGCCUAAGCUCAAUACGGACUUCUUAAGAAUUCUCCAGAUGUUUUAGUUGAUGAACCUCUGGUUAGUUUUAUAGCGUGUAGGAGGAGAGUGGAAUGGUUUUGCAUAGAUCAAGUAGCUAGAAUCCCAUAGGCACAACCCUCCAUUUCCAAGAGUAACUUGAUUGGGUAUCUAAUCCAACAGCUUAUCUGUAUCUAGGAUACACAACGGACACUUUAGAGCUAGCUAUUAUAGCCUUAGAAGACUUGAGAAAAACCUUGAAGAAGCAAGGAUCAAAUCUGAUGCUCAGUUACGGGAAUGCAGAAAAUGUCAUUGCAGAUCUUGUCAAAGAGGUAACUUCACGGGUAUAUUUGAGUACAAUUUUCAGGCGAGAAUAACCAUUUGUCACAAGAACGUGCUGGAUUUCUACAGGUACGAGCUCAUUCUGUCUUUGUGGAAGAAGAGGUAGAAUACCAUCUGUGUGAUGUUUUGGACGGUGUUAAGAAAAAAUUGGAAGGCUUUUCUUUAUCUGGAGAACAACCAAGGAUUGUUUUUUGGCGGACUCCUUUUUACGAGAGCCAAGUAUGUAUUUGAUUCUCUUGCAAUGACAGUUUCUGCAUUGAGAUUUGGAACCAGUAAUUUAUGUGACACAUUUUUGGUCCUCUAGAAUUUGACGGAUCUACCACAAUCUUGGGAAGAGUUUAAGAAACUAAAGCUGCCUAUCUCUUUGCCAGUUCCUGCAGCAAGAUUUUCAUCCCCAGGAAGUGAAUUGCAAUGGGGUGAGCUUUUCUUCAAAAUUCAUGGAGUUGGAUCUCUUAAAUGAGUAGUUUCAUUAGAUAUCUGAUUCGUGAGCCAUUUAACGCUAGGGGAAAUGGUAAAUGAAACAUGCUCCAGGUUCUGUGCCAACGCUCGAUGACCUGAAGGACUAUUUGAAGGAAAGCUUAUGCGAGAAAGAAAAUAGCUGGAGGGAAAUGGCAGAGGCAUCUGCUGAAAGAGUAUUAAUGGAAAGGCUUGGUAAUUUGAAGGAAAGCAGUAUGGAGCCAAUUGUUGAUGGAAGUUUAGGGAAGAAGGUUGACAAUUCUGCUUUUGUCACAAGUAAAAGAGAUACUGUUGGAGGUGGAAAUGAGGCUGUACUCAAUGCUCUAGCAGGAUACUUGAGGUACUUGGAGGGUACAAGUCGAGAUGAAUGGCAAGAGUACGUGGCUAUUCUUAAUUCUGACGUUAUUGUGCUUCCCAGAUGCAUAUCAUAUGAAAGUGGGAUGCUUCUGGUCUAUCUUAGAACUUGUUGAAGAGUGAUUGGCGUUGGUUUUGAUACUGACCAGGGUUCAUGCGAGACUUCGUGAUGCCGAGAUUAGGCCUGGAGCUUCAUUUUUCAAACUUUUUGGACCUGUCCUCUGUCUUGGUAUUGUAUCCAGAAGAAGUGUUCACUAUGAAGCAAUCGAGUAUGAAAAAGAAAGGAAUGCUGGAUUUAUUUCUCCCUUUGGAUAUUCAGCUGCCACAGUGUCUGCUGCAACCGAUGCUGUGCGCUCUAUGGAGGUACAAAGACUCACAGACAUGAUAUCUCUAUGCUCCUACUUUCUUUUCCAAAAUAUUUGAAGCUGUUGGAUUUGUUUUGGCAGUGGUAUUAUCUCGUGGCUCUAAAUAGAGAGAGGAUUGAUGAAAAAAGGCACGCUAUAAGGAUUUGGAGAUGGAAGGGAUAUCUUAUUCAGGUUCCUGUUAUUACUUAUUACUCAUAUUUCUCCUAUGGCCUACAUUGGCCAUUUUUGUAAUCACACUUCUUGAUCUUUUUAUAUUUGCUUAUGGAAUAUAAAGAGGAAUCACUUCCUUGUUUCAGUACACAGUGGUUGGUAAUGAAGGCCCUGCCGUUCUUCUUGUGCAUGGCUUUGGUGCUUUUCUAGAGCAUUACCGCGACAAUGUAGACAACAUUGUAAAUAGCAAAAACCGAGUAUGGACCAUUACAGUCUUGGGUUUUGGAAAAUCAGAGAAGCCAAAUAUCAUUUACACCGAGCUUUUGUGGGCUGAAUUGCUACGGGAUUUUAUGAUUGAAGUAGUUGGGGAACCAGCACAUUGCGUAGGGAACUCAAUCGGUGGUAUGCACCCUAAGUUACUGAGAUGUAAUAUAUCCGUAAGGACAAUGGUUAAGAUACUCAUUUAAUUUUAUAUAUAUGUUUUUCCUUUAUCAGGGUAUUUCGUUGCAUUAAUGGCCUUUCUUUGGCCGGCCUUGGUUAAGUCCGUCGUCCUUGUUAACAGUGCUGGCAAUGUGGUACCUGGAUACUCUCCUCUCCCAAUCUCUAGAGUAUGUAUCAUUUGAAUGAAUGAAUAUCUGAGUUUUCAGAUUUUUUUAGAAAAACUUAAGAGUUUUGGCUCAGGAAUUAAGUUAUUAAGUAAUUAUCACACCCUAUUGUCCUUCUUUUUUUUUAGGAAAGGGGAGUUCCAUUUGGUGCACAACUGGGUGCUCGACUUCUUCUCUUUUUCCUACAAUUCAAUGUCAAAAGGCUAUUAAAGGAUUGUUAUCCAGUUGUAAGUAAUAUGAAGAUUUCGACAGCUGUAUGACAAAGUAUAAAUGCUCAUCAUUGUGCCAAAUUUCUAACCCAACUGCUUGUUUAUGAUGCAGAAACCUGCAAGAGCUGAUGACUUUCUCGUCACUGAAAUGCUAAGAGCAGUAUCCUUUUCUUUUUUUUGCAUUAAUUGGUUCAUGAUCUGCAAGUAAAAUAUUGAUGAUAGAGACAUUACCUUAAAACACACAAUAGUCUCGUGACCCCGGUGUGGUUAUGGUCCUGGAAAGUAUCUUCGGCUUUGAUCUUUCGCUUCCUUUGAAUUAUCUCCUCAAAGGGUUUGAGGAAAAAACUCUAGUCAUACAGGUAUCAAGAUUACAAACAUUGUUUGGAUCCUCAUUCUAACUUCUAUUAGGGAUUACACAGGAUCAAUAUUCAUCAGUUUCAUUCAUGUAUUAGGGGAUGAAAGAUCCCAUAUCGGAUCCGAAGAAGAAAGUAGCCUUACUGAAGGAGCUUUGUCCAGCGAUGGUGAUUAAGCAAGUUAAUGCAGGUAAAGCAAAAAACUAACUGCUAAAAACCCUAUACACCUUCAAUAUAGAUUGUGUAUAUAUCAUUCUUCUUGACUCUUGUCUCUGCAAGUAUAGGUCACUGUCCCCACGAUGAAAUCCCAGAAGAGGUAAAUCCGAUUAUCUGCGAAUGGAUAGUGAAGGCCACACUCGACAGUAACUAAAAGCCUCAUCAUCCCAGCAAAUUUGCCACAGUAAUAAACAAAACUAAGGAUUUGGUCAGCAGAAAGCAGUUAUUGAUAUGGUAUAGUUUGGUUGUGCCACCAAGACACCGUCAUAGAUUAGAUGUCAUCAACCCAAAUGCAAGAAACAUGACUAAGUUAAACCAAUUAAAAGGGAACCGUCAUUUUUCUUUCUGACUAUAUAUAUUCUUUGUUUAUUUAUCUUUUCGUAAGCCUGAGUCCGUAAUUACAAGAUUUAUAUAUGUUUUGAUUUAAUUAUUUGGACGUAAUGGCACUAUGUAUGUCUAUAGCUUUUUAGCUUGUGUCCAGUGUUGUCCCCUCCGAAAUUUGCUCAUCUCUGCCCCAUGUGGUAGUGCACUGCGUUUAAGCAACAUUCAGAAUUUCAGAUUAUGGAAGUAGGGACAAGAAGCUGUGGGUGGAACACACGUGCUGUUUUGGGAGGCUAAAAACGACACAGCGUUCGCGUCUUUAAAUGGUAAACUUUCACGUUCGCUUUAAUUUAGAGUCAUAUUCAGUUUUUUGACCUAUUCUUAAUUUUUUUGCUAAUAAAUAUUCGCAGAGGUCGCUUUGUGAAAUACAAACACAAAUCCCACCAAAACGGUGUCGCGAGAACGUUGAAGAAAUUAAUUUGGCGCACUGCUCCAUCAUUAUUUUAUUCUCCGUGAUCUGUUUUUUUUUGCGACGAUAUUUCUUGCUCGAUUCUGAAAAUCGAAAAAUCCAAAAUCGAUACCUGAUGAAGUAAAGGAAAUCGCAGACAAGUAAAGGAAGAAGACGACGAAUAAGAUGUGGAGACGCGUGGCUUUACUUUCUCCGAUGAUUUCUUCAUCAUCCCGAUCCCUUAUGCUUAAACAGGUACAAAUUUUCAAUCCCGAUCGCUUUUUCUCCGGGGGAAAUUCAAUCGUUGUCUCUUUCUCUGCUUGAAUCUUUGGUUUGUGGGUUUUAACUCAGUUCAUUACUUAUUUCUUCAUAUUCUAGGCAGCUUCUGGGCUCAAAGUUGGGGAAUCUUUUGCAACAGACAUAAUUAAACCGGUAUAUAGAUCAGGAAAAGCUCAAUUAAUUUGUUUUUUCGCCGUUAAUUGUGUGUUUUGUGUUAAAUGUGUUUUAUUAUCUGUCACAGGAAGAACCAGUUUUACCGCCGAAAGAGAAAGCUCCAUUUAUUACAUUUGUACUAGGUCAGUUUUGGAUUCUGGUGCUUAAUAUGUUGGAACCUAUGAGUUGGAAUCUAUCUAGGUUUCUAUUUGAGUUUCCUGUGAAAAAAAGUUGAAGAUGAUAUAAACGCUCACUUGUUCUUCAGUCAUGGGCACACGAUCUAUAGUAAUCCAUUCAUGUGAAGUAAAUAGACAUUUGGUCAUUUGUAUCAAUCUAGCUUUAACAUUUGAAUAACUUGAAUAUAGUCUGAUGGAUUUCAAAUAUCAGGAGGUCCUGGAAGUGGAAAAGGUACACAAUGCGAAAAAAUUGUUGAGACUUUUGGAUUGCAACAUCUAAGUGCUGGAGAUUUGCUCAGGAGAGAAAUCGCAAUGCACACGGAAAAUGGGUAGAAAGAUGAAGUUUCUAUAUAUCCAAUGUAUUAUUUACUAAGAAUGCAUCAAAAGUUUGUGGUCAUCUCAUUAUGAUGAGGGGAUCUCAAUUUCAGGGCUAUGAUUUUGAACUUGAUUAAAGAUGGGAAGAUUGUACCUUCAGAAGUUACAGUAAAACUAAUACAGAAAGAGUUGGAAUCGAGUGACAAUCGCAAGUUUCUCAUUGAUGGAUUUCCACGAACUGAGGAGAACCGUGUUGCUUUUGAGCGCAUAGUAAGUGGUGUAGUAUCUUCUCUUACAUGAAUAUACUCUUGCAACAAAGCUUUGAACAUGAAAUAGCUCCUUGAUUCUAUUGCAGAUAAGAGCAGACCCUGAUGUAGUACUGUUCUUCGAUUGUCCUGAAGAAGAAAUGGUGAAACGAGUCUUGAAUCGUAAUCAGGUGCUUAUUUUACAGUACUCUUCAUUUACUAUUUUAAAGUUAACAGUGCCAUGAAACUGAUCCCUUGCUGAUGCAGGGCCGAAUUGAUGAUAAUAUAACUACAAUGAAGAAGCGUCUCAAAAUCUUUAAUGCCUUAAAUCGUCCUGUUAUUGACUACUACAAAAAUAAAGGAAAACUCUACACUGUGAGUUCUUUGCAAACAUUUAUGACUUCAUCUCGUUAAUCUUUGUACUUAUUUGAUAUUUUGGGUUUGGAAGGUUGAAGAAGCUGUUGAUAAUGUUUGAUUCAAAUGCCUUAUUUGAUAUUUUUCAUCUUUGGUGCAGAUUAACGCAGUAGGAACAGUAGAUGACAUAUUCCAACAUGUCCUACCUAUUUUCAAUUCAUUUGAGGUAUACAUUAUCUGUCUCUCUCACUGCAUUUCAAUUCCAAAAGUUUUUCUUGUCUGCAUCAUCCAGACAGUAGGCAAUCAGGCAUCAUCCAGACAUCAUGAUUUCUAACAUAAAGUUGUAUAUCUUUAGAACUUGGCGAGAAAAUCAUAAUUAAUCCGUUCUUCGCACAGAUCAAUCCAUAUUUUGAGUAGAACAAGAUUUGUGUUAACACCUGCAAUUUUGGUGUGCAGCAAUUGAAGGAGAGUAGUCAUGUAAAUCCAAAGUCCCAUCUCGGUUCGAGUUUGGUAGAAAAUUCAUCUUGACAAAAGACGACCAGUCUGAAAUUUGUCCAUUACUCUUGAAUUUUGAUGCACUAUAUGCAAUUCGCAUUGCAUCUUUUUGUUUGUUGUACUUUGUAGUAGUAUCAUAAGGUAAACAAACCAAAAAAGUAUGUAACUUCUGAGAAAUUUAUUUAAUGUAUUCUCAUAAGACUCUGCUUCCCUCCAUUUAUCGAAUUCUCAACUAAGGAAGAAAAUUGAGAAAAGAGAAGAAGAAUGGUGAGUAUCGUUGUACACAAACCAAGCUUCUCUUAUCCAUCUGUAUCGUCUUCCUCAAUGAAAAAGAAACCCAGACAUCACCAACAGUUGAAGCAACACAGACAAAAUGAAUACAACAACAGUGGAUUCACUUCCCUCUCUUUCACCAAACCAUCUCCCACUCCUCUCUUGAUCGGAAAACAAUCGAUUCACCGGACCCAACUCGAAGCCUUAGACUCCGUCAUUACAGACCUCGAAGCCUCAGCUCAAAAAGGUAUCUCAAUCACCGAACCAGAGAUCUUCGCUUCUCUUCUCGAAACAUGCUACAAUUUAAGAGCUAUUGACCAUGGCGUUAGAGUUCAUCACCUUAUACCUCCCUACCUCUUGCGCAAUAACGUGGGAAUUUCGUCGAAGCUGGUUAGGCUAUAUGCGUCUUGUGGCUACGCGGAGGUUGCACACGAGGUGUUCGAUCGAAUGUCUAAGAGAGAAUCAUCGCCUUUUGCUUGGAACUCUCUUAUCUCAGGUUACGCUGAAUUGGGUCAGUACGAAGACGCCAUGGCUCUCUACUUUCAGAUGGCUGAAGACGGCGUGAAACCAGACCGCUUCACUUUCCCACGCGUCUUAAAGGCUUGUGGAGGAAUUGGGUCUGUUCAAAUUGGAGAAGCAAUUCACCGUGAUUUGGUUAAGGCAGGAUUCGGAUACGAUGUACAUGUGCUCAAUGCUCUUGUUGAUAUGUAUGCGAAAUGCGGCGACAUUGUUAAAGCAAGGAAUGUUUUCGACAUGAUUCCUAACAAAGACUAUGUUUCUUGGAACUCCAUGUUGACUGGUUACCUUCAUCAUGGCUUGUUACACGAGGCGUUGGACAUUUUUCGUCUAAUGGUUCAAAAUGGGAUUGAUCCUGAUAAGGUUGCUAUCUCCAGUGUUCUGGCUCGUGUUUUGUCUUUCAAGCAUGGACGACAGUUACAUGGAUGGGUAAUUAGGCGAGGAAUGGAGUGGGAGUUAUCGGUUGCGAAUGCUUUGAUUGUUCUAUACUCCAAAAGGGGACAAUUGGGUCAAGCCUGCUUCAUUUUCGAUCAGAUGCUCGAGAGAGAUACCGUAUCUUGGAAUGCUAUCAUCUCUGCUCAUUCUAGAGAUUCUAAUGGUUUCAAGUAUUUUGAGCAGAUGCAACAUGCUGAUGCUAAACCUGAUGGUAUCACGUUUGUCUCUGUUCUAUCUCUCUGUGCUAAUACAGGAAUGGUCGAAGAUGGAGAGAGACUGUUCUCUUUGAUGUCAAAGGAAUACGGGAUAAACCCAAAGAUGGAACACUAUGCGUGCAUGGUGAAUCUCUACGGAAGAGCAGGGAUGAUGGAAGAGGCUUACUCAAUGAUUGUUCAAGAAAUGGAGUUCGAGGCCGGUCCAACCGUUUGGGGAGCUUUGUUAUACGCUUGUUACCUCCACGGAAAUACAGAUAUAGGAGAGGUUUCUGCUCAACGUCUUUUCGAAUUAGAACCUGAUAACGAACAUAAUUUCGAGCUGUUGAUGAGAAUUUAUAGCAAAGCAAAAAGAGCAGAGGAUGUUGAGAGAGUAAGGCAGAUGUUGGUGGAUAGAGGAUUGGAGACAUAAACUGGUUCUACCCAAAAGGUACAUAUGAGUUUAUCUUCUUAAAUCAGCCCAUAUGAUGUCAUAUCAUGUUGAGUUAUGAUCUUUCACACAUACACAAGAGACUUGUUUGUUCAUAGAGAAAAAGAUCACAUGACGUGUGUGAACGCGUCUGAUUGGUUAGCUGUUAGAAGUGAUUUCUGCUUUCUAGAUUCUCGUGGGAUGUCUUUUGUAAGAUUUGACUUAAACUAAUGUCAUCACUAGAUUCUACUUUUCCUGCUGCAUUAUUCAAUUGAUAAGCUCUUUCUCGUGACCAGUGCUUCAUAUGGUUUAUACACAUGGGUUUAGUCACUGGUCACGUGCAUUUGGACCCACAACUUGCAAUAUUUAGAAAGCUAGGAUCCAAAUAUGUUGUUAGUAGAUGAAGACACACAGUUACAGCUCUUAUCCUCUGUCAUUGGUAUUCACAUUGCUGCACAUUUAUUGAUAUUUCAACCAACUCCCAUUUUUGUUAUAAAUAAGAAAUAGGGCUUUGUGUGUGAGGAUUUAAGGAUCAAUGUAUCUGCAUUCUCACAUUCAUUAGUCUUUUAUCUAUAAAACCCUGGACCCUUUUGCUGCUACUCCCACAUUUAGUUGUUGAAUUAAAAAAACUCAUUUGUGUUUGGAAUCCAAAAUGGCAAGAAGUUUCAACCUUUCUUUGAUUCUCUUUGUUCUGUAUCUGUCCACUGCAGCAAUAGCCAUGGCCAGAAACCUUGAAGAGGAAUCAAGUGGUGAUACGAAGUUCAUUAAAGCCUCUUGUGAGAUGACGUCGUACCCGGACCGAUGCUUCCAGUCCCUGUCUUCAUAUGCAAGCGAGAUCAAGAAGCAGCCACGUAAGCUUGCUGAGACAGCGCUUGCCGUUAGCAUAGCCCGAGCAAAGUCAGCCAAAACCUAUGUCUCAGAGAUGACUGACUAUAAGGGAAUCACAAAGAGGCAGCACGAGGCUGUAGCAGACUGUGUAGAGGAGAUGGGAGACACUGUUGACAGGUUGAGCAAUUCGCUGAAGGAACUGAAGCAUCUGGAGGAAGGUGACAGCGGAGAAGAGUUUUGGUUCUGUCUGAGCAAUGUCCGGACAUGGACAAGCGCGGCUCUGACAGAUGAGACCACAUGUCUUGAUGGAUUUGGAGGGAAAGCCAUGAAUGGGGAGCUGAAAAGCUUAAUCAGAACACGCAUUGUGAGUGUGGCGGAAGAGACGAGCAAUGCCUUGGCUCUGAUCAAUGACUUUGCUUCCAAGCAUUGAAAACAUUUCAAAGGGAUAUGGUCUUGGGGACAGUUUUUCUCUUGGAUUUGGUUUCUAUUGAGCUUUGAAGAAAUGUGCUUUGGUUUGGUUUUGAGGCAUUUCAGUUUCUCUUACCCUGUUGUUGUAUCAUCUACGGUCUACAUAGUUGAUGUUGAUUUUUCUCAAUGUUUUACAAUAGAUUACUUACCAAACAAACUUUUUUUUUUAUCUCAAAAACAGUAAGAGCACCUCCCAAUGGAGGUUCUCAUGUGAAUAUCAAAAAGGAUAUUGAUAUCAAAAAGGUUCUCAUGUGGGCUAGUGGUAGGACGGAUUUCGUGGUUGAGGGGGUAAUCUCAAUACGCCCGGGUUCGAUUCCCCUUUGCUACAUAUUAGAGGCCACCAGGGAAUUUACAUGCGGACUUGCUCUGGCGUCCGAGACCGUAGACCGUUACCUGGCCAUGACCCACCCUCGUGUGUGCAUCCGUGCCGUAAGGGUUCGGUCUCUAGUCUGGACCACCUUGGUGGGGCCAGGACACUCGGUUAUAAAAAAAAAUAUAUAUAUCUCCAAAAGUUAAGAAUCUUUACUAAAGUUUCUCAUUUGAGUAAAGAUUUCUCAUUCAAUUUUAUAGUAUUAAUUUUUUUUUGAAGAUGCUAUAUCUCAUAUGGCAUAGCUUUGGUUGAGAAAAAGAACACUGAUUGUUCUAGCACUUGUCAUGUAUGUGUCAUAGAAAAGUUGCAAAAGCUUUUGAAAAUUGAUUAAAAAAAAAAAACAUUAUAGAUUUUCUAAAACCAAUCCUAUCUUAAAGAAAAUUGAAAAAAAUAACCAUAUAGAGAUUUAUAGAGGAGAAUUAUAAAAGAAAUUAAUAAUUUUAUUAGUUUUAACUAUUUCCACUAUCGACUAAAUUUAUUAGUAAUGUAUGAAUCGUUGAUAAAUAAAGGGCAGAAAAGUCAUAAGGUCAACGGAAAACGGUCCACAUGGAACCGUUCAUAUGUAAUACGAAUCCUUCUGACAUGUUGAUUCUAUAUGCUUACUGUAUACUCAAGCCUCGGUGCAAUAUUAUAUGAAAAUUUUUUAAUGUAUCAAUUUUAUCAACAACAAACGAGUUCAAUUUUAUCAUUAUUAAGUUAUAUUUUGGUCAUAUCAAUUGACUUUUAUACUUUGGUAUAUCAUCCGGUAGGGAUGAAAAAUGUACUUCAAAUUUCAAAAGCUUAAUUUGUGAAAACAUUCGAGACAGAUUCUGAAUAUUUCCAGAACUCUUUUAUAUCUAAGCUUAAUUAACAGUGAACCCAAACAUGGCCACGUACUAUACAUAUGCGACUUCAAUUAAUUCGUAAACGUUACACGCUGUGAAAACUUCGAAUUUAGAUUACUAUUUAUCGCGUAAAUUAAAGAAAAGAAAACGUACACAUGCACAAGCAAAAAGAUCGAGGUGCGGUGCCGUGAAUAUAAUGGAUAUUCAUCAGUAACUUAAAUAAUGAGUAAGAAGGGCUAAAGUAUUGCUUGUAGUCUUUGAAAGCUGAGAAACAGCCUUCUUCACCUUCUUCUUUGUUUCCACAUUUACUUUCCCUUCCUCGAAUCCGUCCGUACACGUGCCCUCGUAGGUCAACGCAGAGCUCACCCACGUCAUCACGUUCUUUAAAUGCUCCUCCGUAGUUUUUCCUCGGCCUCUGACAUACUUCAUCUCGGCGACCGCUUGCUUAAGCUCGUCGAUAGUGUCCUUCAUCUCGUCCACGCAGUCUUUAAGGAUCGAGACCUCGUGGCUUUUGGCGGCUUUAGCCUUUUGGAGAAGGUUAGAGACAACUAAUGUGGAAUUUUUAGCCGAUUUGACGUUGAGGUUGAGUGAUGUUGUGCAAAGUUUGAUUGGGUCAGACUUGAUGGUGGCGGAGUAAGAGGACAAUGAGUUAUAGCACAUCAUAGGAUAUGUUGUUGAAUUGCAUGCCGUUUUUACGUACGUUGUGUGGUUUUGGUACGUGCCUGGUGGAGUGGCUACUGUAUUUGGAAAGCUUGAUGAGUUGAUGAAAACCAUGAGAGUUAGAGAGAGUAUCACGAAACGCGACAUGUUUGUUUCGGGAAUUGAAAAUGCUAGCUUUUAGCAAAUUGUGAAACUAUCGAUUAUGUGUAUAUAUAUAUAUAUAUAGACACAUUGGAUUAUAUAGACACCUUGGAUUGUUAAUUUAUUAUUGGAGGUCAUGUGACAUAUCAUGCUGUUGUUCCAGUUCUCUCCCCGAUCAUUAACCACUUAUUUAUCUUAGUCUCGUUUCUCUCUAAUCUUUAUGCUUUGACAUGUAAACAAUCAUACGAAGAUUGUCAUAAUUUGCUAAACAUGGCCAUUUCAAAUCAAACGACCGUCUGCUUAUCUGUUUAUCAUAAUUUACAAAACCUAGGCGUCUCAAAUUACACCAAACAAUAUUUAGAAGCUUUUUUUUUUGUGUCCAAAUAAAAUUUGAAGAUUAUUACAAAUUUCAUUCCGGUGUUUAAGCAAGGUAUCACGUGAUGUGAUAUGAUGUGCAUGUAACAUGAACGUGGACCAGAUCUCUUAUUUCGGAGAAACAUCAACUUAUUUUUUUGUUUAAGAUAUUAUUAGUCAUAAUUCUUCUGUAAAUUAUUAAGAAAGACAGAUCGACGUAUCAUGUACAUUAUAGAGAAUUGAUAUGCAAAUUAGGUGUUUUAUACGUAGGUGUUUAAUGGCUGGAAAUUGCACAUGAUUUAUAUAAAAAAAAAUUAGAACAUUUAAAAUAUCAAUCAGCUAAAGAAAAAUGUAAAGCUGUGCACAAAAUUGCAAAUUUCAGAACAAAGUGAUACGAAUAUGAGAGUUGUUUUCAGAACUAAAAGUUCUUCGAGAAGUAUUACCAAAUGAAGUUAAGAAGCAUCUAACGAAAACAUAAAGUUCUCAUAUCUUUUGCGGUUGCAAAAUAGUAUUAACUAAGUUUUCUAUAUUUUAGAAAGUCAUGGGUACACAUAAACUUAGAAUUGACAUUUCAAAGUUCAACCAAUCACCCUAUAUUAUGGAAUCAUAGGAAGAAAAAAGGAAGCAGAUGGCAGUUAAUAAAAAAAAAUUAAGAUAGAGAAAAUCCAACAAUGAGAAAAUAAUGUGGUAUAAGAUGGGAGAAACAUGAAGGAAAAGAAAAAAGAAACUUUUUCAUUACAAUUGAGAAGAUGCUAAACCAUUUUGGCCUCAAACAACAAAAGAACCAAGAGUUGUUCACAUCCAUGGCCCAUGGGGAUAAAUAAAUCUAAAUAUCAUUUAACGUCUACUACAUUCUACAGCCGAACUAGUUGGAGAUCAGAAUAACAGACCGUAGAACCUCACUUCUCCGGCAGAAAGAUGUAAAAAGGCUUAGCAAAAUGUCAUAACCGAGGCGAGCAACACCAUUAGCAUUAGCUUCAAGCGUCCAUUUAGUAUAGAUGUUGCAGCUGAGUGGUGCUGUUCCCUGCAACAAUCACGAUAAAGAGUGUUAAGAUUCUCAUCAUCCAAAGGCAUAGCAAAACAGAUAGAAGAAAUGUUUCAGAUGAAUACUUCUGCAAGUUCUUAAGGGCACCACAGUAAAGGACAUUGUCAGGAGGAUCCAUCUCUGUCUUUCCAUCCUCAUCCGGGUUUGUGAUCCGCAUAUAAGUUUCCUCACCAAGAUACCAUCGGUCAAGAUUCUCUACUCGAAUGUUCCACACUCCGACAUUAUCAAGGGAAAUAAGUACAGCCGUCCAUCCCCCUGGGUAUACCUAAAUAACAAGAGAACCAUUAAGAAAACCUGCAGUUCAGAGUAAUUUUGAGUGAUGCUACGGUGUAUGAACCUCAACUGUGCUUCUUGAGAUGGCAUCAUAGUUGUUAUAUGAACCCUUUUUGUCUUCUGACCAGAUACCAAAGUCCAUCCUGGAUUAUCAUGGUACAUCAGCACCAGAUUUUUUUAUAGAUAAUUAAAUGGAGGAACAAGAAUAGAAGACAAGGUGCCAAGGUUUCUCUUACCCAACAACAAAAAAUGAAUAUCCAUCAACAUGGAAGCUCUGGAUCUUGGUGUCGUUGUUCUGGAAAAUAACUUGUAUAAACCCCUUGUAUGUUGCGUUGAUCAUAGAUCUGUCCAAACGAGGAGGUCUACUAAAAGGUCUAUCAGGGAAGUCCAGCUUAUAAGCUCCUUUCACUUUAUUGCGAUCCGCAAGCCUCACUGGAGUGCUUGGAUUCACAAAUGAAAUCCCAUUAAGUGUAGCACGUAGUGCCCCGUUAAUUGUUGUUGGAGGCAAACUUCUCAAAAUGUAUGUGUUAGUGAUGUUUAUUUGACCAUAGUGAAAUGAUCCCUGCGGAUUUGGACGAGCUCCACUAGCAGAUGUGUUUUGCCUGCAAAUCAAAAGAGUCAACUUCACUGGAACAAAAUUCUAGUUGUAGCAACAAGAAGGGGAACAUUAAUAUGCACUUGCUCCUAAAAAAUAUUCAAAAUCAAACCUGAUGGCCUUCGGCUGGUUCAUUGCUGACCAUGGGCUAGAAACAUCGGUUUUUGGAACUGGUAGAGGACCAGAAACAGGUCCUUUGGAAUUAGAAUAAUGGAGAAUGGCAACACCAGUGACUCUUUGCCACACUGUUUCAUUCACAAAUCUAGCACUGGCAACAAUGUAGUAGUCACUUGUGGCGUUUUGGUCCAUGGUUACCAAGAAAGAAUAAGACUGUCCUACAUGAACAUCAAAAUCAGUAAAGUUCGCCUGUGAGGUAUAGUGACCCUCGGUUUCUACCAAAAGCAAAUUGUGGUUCUGAAUCCUGAAGUUCAAGCUUGUCGAGAUCCCAACAUUGUGAACACGGAUUCUGUAUGUUUUUCCUGCAAAAUAUAACCUUUUUAGUUUAUUAGAAAACUAAUAAUUUGCAAUGAAUCUGCACAAAUCUUAUCAAUCUUAUACUAAAAAAACUGAAGAUGUGAACUUUUGAAGUACCAUCUUUACAACAUGUUCAACUACAUGCAACAGUUACUCAUGUAUUAAGAGCUCUAAGUGAAUAAGGAAAAAUAAUAUCUUGGAACAACAAAACUAACUGAGAUUGAAGACUCAACACAGGCAACUCUUCAAACAAAAUGUUACUAGGAUGCAAAGGAAAGUCACAUGAGAAGAUUCAUGGGUCUCAUGAGACAAAGAAAUAGCAAAAAUUCCUCAGAAACUCCCAACAAUUAUACCUGGUUCAACAUGAAAGGUUAAGUAAUCAAUUCCAUCAGGUACACUACUGUUGUACUUGUAAGGACCCUUCCCAUUGAUGAGGACUCCAUCUGGCAUCCCAAGUUCUUUCCCAGAGUCGAGUAUUCUCCUUAAUGCCUGAGAAGCAACAGUGUCUCAGGUAUAAAUGCAGGGUGCUGAUAAGUGAUAACCACAUGCGUUAAAGGAAAAUAUACAAAAGUCAUGAUUACAUACUUUAUGGUCCUGAGUGUACCAAUCACCAAUAAUGAAGAUGAGUUCGCCGUCAGGCUGUGGGAAAGGGAUAGGAAUAAUGUCACGGUUAUUAAUCACGAUGGGACCAAAACCCCCAGAUGCUCUCUGAAAGUUGAGUGAAGGGGAGUAGAAAAAGCUUCCAAUUUGAUCCUUCACUUGAAAUUGGUAAGUAAAGUUCCAUCUGGGAGGAAUAGGGCAGUUUGUGCCAAGAACACCGUCUUGCCACGAGUUACGCCGCAUUUGGAUGCCAGGCCUAUUCCAACAGACAAAUGGAAGAACCCAAGAAGCAUACUAGUCUUUAGAAACUAGGAGAUAAGGAGGUAAAUAAAAGAGACAGAGCUCUUGGUCUCACCAAGUCAAGAGGAGAGGCUCAUCCAAAUGAUUGAAAACGUUAACAACAACAUUGUAGUUGGUAGUGGCAUUAAGCAGAGGUCCUGGAAACUGCCCAUUGACAGCUAUAACCUGAAUAAACGAAGUUAACACCAAAUCAAAGAAGGCUAACACAUUAAAAAAAAGUCAAUCUUUUUGAUGCCAAUCAUAGAACAGGAACCAUUAGUGAAUACCUAAACCCAUGUAAAGCACAAUCAACCUCAGUGACCCUCUUUAGCAUUUACCAAGUUCGAUACCAAAACCCAAAAAAAAUUAUGAUAGUAACCUCAAACACAUUGUAUAUUUAGAUCCAGAGGUACCAAUACAAGUUUCAAAAAAAACUAAGAAAGCAAAAGCAUUCUAAGACGCCGGCAUUGAAUCUCUCUCUCAAUCGAAAGCGAGAACCUUUAUUCAAACACAGAACCGGAGAUUUCCAAGGAAAGGUGAGAAAGAAACGGAACCUGUUGAGGAACGCCGAGGGGAGAAGCGGUGAUGUAAGAAACUCUGAAGUCGUAGGAGACGAAAGGGUCCGCCGCGAAAGACACGCCGGAGAGAAGAGCAAAGCAGAGGAGGAACACAGAACAAGUCGCCGCCAUAAAGUUAGGUUUUUUUUUAUUGCGUAUCCGUGAUCACAAAGCUUACGGAUUUGACAUAAUCAUUAUAUGAGUGAAUCGAAACGGUAGAGAAGACGAAGCAAUGUGUUUAAGUGUCAGUGUGGGUUUUUGAACUUCUUCUUACAAGACACUGGAAAAUGAGAGACACUUGACUUUUUUAUCAUUUUUUUUUUUUUUUUGCCUUAUUUUUAGAAAUAAAGUUUGUUUUUUUCUUCUUUUUUUUCCCAUAAAUUUACACAAAAAAAAAAAAGCUUUGCCUUUAAACAGUUCUGAAAAAAGCAUUCAUAUUUUUGUAUUUAUCCUUAUGUGCCAGUGUACUUUUUUGGGGUUUCAAUAUCUCUUAAUUAAUACUUGCUCAAAAAAAAUCUCUUAAUUAAAAAAGAGUUAAAAAAAAAUGAACUCAAGGAAGAGCGUUGAAUUGCAAAGAUUGAGGAGAAGACCUGGAAACAUGUACCAGAAGAAUGUGGGAACAAAUCAUCCAGUUUUUUUGUUAUUUUAUCAUUUCUUGGUCAGGAUUUAACGUACAAAAUAUAUAAUUCUACAUUCUUAUUAAUUAAGUUUAUGUUGUUCACCUUUUCUUUUGUUUUUCCUUAGAUUUUCUCCAUAUGUUGCAUUGUAACUUUGCUACAUUAUGUCAAUUAAGCGUUCCAUUAAAGUUUCGAUGCGUUGAGAUUAGCAUAUGAAGAAGAUUUCAGAUGACUAUCAAGAGAUUGUUGCAAACUAGUGGUCUCACUUCCUGAUACUUGCGUCUUGCUUAACUAAUUACCCUAUUAAUAUCUUUGAUGUAGAGUCCCUCCACCAAAUUGAUAAAUGAUAGUAAUAUUGAGUAUCUUCUACUAUCAAAUACACUUGCAAAUUUUCUUACGUCUUUUGAUCACUUGCUCUCUAAAUUGAAUAUUGUUUCAUGGCCAUAUAUCUGUCACUUGCUUUCUCUUAUUCAAUGUUUCAUGGCCUUCCCUUUGUCUGAGGUCUCAUAUAUGUUAAUCUUGUUCCUUAUGUUUUAAAAAGUACUAUAUCUUAGACGUAUAAUAUUCCUCAUUUGUUGGGAAUAGAUUUUUAUGCCAGCUAAUGUACCUCAUAUAUUUUAAUUGAACGUAGUAUAAAAUUUAUCUAAGUAGAUAAAUGUCUAGAAGCGUAUUAAAAUAAGACAAAGUGGUUCUCUUUUGCCAUAGCAAUUCACACACGGCAUGGACAAAAACAAAGUUGCUUCCUUCGAAAGAAACAAUCUCUUCACAAUCUUUUUGGCUUAAAGUUGCGUUAAAAGUACCAACAUGAUACUUUUCUAUUGAUUAUUUUACUCGAAAUGGGUAUGAAAAAUUAGAUUUUAUAUGUUAAUUUUCUUCGAUAAGAUUUUUAUAUGUUGAAUAUAUUUUAUUUGUCUCUUCACUUUUAAUCUGUUCCUCGAAACCUGUAGACUUAAGUUAUCAAAGCCAGUAUAGAGGAUAUAGAAGGAUACUCUUAAGUUCUUCAGAAAAAAAAAUUGAGUUUACACAUUUGGUGAUAUACUACAGUACAGGCUAUUUGAUCAAUAACGGUAGAUUCUUUAAUUUACUUCUUCAUUUUAUUGUAAAUUACACAUUCUUAUACAGGAGAGAUAGCAGCAGCCAAAAGAGCAGCUGCAAAGAGUGGUUACUCUCCCUCGAGACUGGAGCCGAGGUCAGACUGCGACAAAGAUAUCUCCAGACCACCAAGGCAUCAUCAUCACCUUGAGUAAAUAUCCGAACUUAUUUUUCGCAAGAGAGCAAUGAACAGAAGCUAUACACUAGAGCCUCUUCUUCUCUAUAGCAAAAAGUGAUGCACAUUGCUUUAUAUUUACAGCGGGUGAAGCUUGGAAUGUUGGGUGGUGUGUAAAGACUUAAGGACAAGGAUAUGUCCCCAAUCAUUAAUCUAUAUCUAAGGUUGAAAUGCAAGUGCUUAGUAUAUAUUACACAAACUAUCAUCACAUCUGGAGAAGAUUGUUCACCGUAACAGCAACAGAGUUUGUUCUCUGCAGGUCCUGCAAGAAAUUGAAACGCAACAGGUUCAAGUAUCAAGUCACAUGAAUCUUACUUAGUACUGAACUAUUCACCACUUACGGACCAGUCUAGAGCAAACAAGAGACCAGGUACCGGACAAUGGGUUCAAGCAAAUUGACCACAUAAAUAAAGUAAUAAGAUUCGGUUUCAGGUAUGAAUAUAUGAAAAUCGUUCCUUCCAGUCAAUGCAGAAGACCGUCUAAGUGACCCACCAACUCAACCAUGUAUGCACUUCCCGUCAAAGCUUACAGAAUAUCCAAUAUGCACUUAAUAUUUACCUGGAAAAUAAUUUCAUCGGGCACGUGUGGCAUGACUUCCCUCACAGUCUCGGCCAUAGCUAGUAUAUUUGCCAAGCUUUCAUUUGUCGUGCUUGAUACAGUUCUCAGAUGCAGACCACCUGUCCUUCCACCAGUACCAGGAGGUACAGUUGUAGAAGAAGUGGAUGCUUGUGAAGGGUUCAUCGGCCAUAGACUCCAAGCAGCAUCGUCAAGUGCAGUUUGAGCAUAGCUUUCGCCAACAGAUGCAAGAUGCCUCAUCAUCAUCUGAACCCGCCCCAGUCCAACUGACCUGGAAGCGGUAGAGGGACCAGCGACAUCAGAACCCUGACCUGACCAUGUCUGCAGCCAGCUUGGAUCCAAUCCUAAAUUCCUAUUUUGUGAAAGAAAAGGAUGAGAACUUAUACAAUCCAGUUCAAAAUGCAACUCUUUAAAAACAAAUCCAAGAUAUAUGCACAAAUAGUGGUCGUUACAAACCAAAUAUUACUUGCUAUCCAAUUCAUUUUUAAAUAAUGUAUAAUUUAAGGUAAUGCAAAUUUAGUAUAUCAGCACCAAGAUCAAGGGAGUCACAGGAAAGGAAUCAUUAAGUUCUAAGCAAACUGUUACUUUGGUGUAGUUAAUUAAGAAAAUCAAGGACGAAGAAUGAACUGAACCUCGAAGUAUCAUUUUCGACGGAAUUUGGCACCUCGGCAGGAAAUAAACCAGUUGCUAGUGCACGAACAGGAUUGUUUUGUCUUUCAAGCUGACGGGCUAACUGCUCAUCGCUUGAGACUUCCACUGUGUGAGGGUUCACCUCACUUUCAGUUCUACCAACAAAAAGAGGCUUACGACAUGUAGGACAAGAAUAAACCUCAUUUAGACCUUGAUCCAACCUGCCAGCAUCAAAACAUCAUCAGGAUCACCAGUUUCAGUCAUAAAGACAUGGGGCUGCCGAUAUUUAGCUAAGCGCACCAGGAUCGCAGGCAUCCAAGAUGGAAAAGGUGGUUGCAGUGAAGCCUUUUAGCCUUGGCCAUAGGUUCCUGCCAUUUAUAGUUGUAUUUUAAGAGUUUGAGAUUGAAAACUUAUAAGAAAAUGACUAUAGCAGAAGCAUACCCGACAUAUAGCACAUUCAUCAUCAUAUGCCCUUAACUCUUCAGAAGUUGCAUCGGGGAGGGCUGCAUGGAGAGCACCCAGAGCUAUUCUUAGUUUAAUAUAUCCUUUUAUUCGUUUCAAAAUGGCACUUAGCAAUGCCUGCCAAACCAAACAGAGAACCAGGUCAAAAAUACAACAAUCGAAUGCUGUGCCUAGUAUCAAGUAACCGGAAGAGUGACAGUGUUUUAAAGAAAACCAAUUAACAAACAUACACGUAUGUUGAGAAACAAAACUGCAUCCACCAGAUGAAAGGCAAUGCCAUGCAGCCACCAAAUGUGCAAAUAAUGACCUAGUGCCAUUACCAAAGUAGCCAUGUCCAGGAAGAAACCGAGAUUACGGUUGAGGAGGCCCUUCCAUUCCAACAGUGAGCCUAUCCAAAGAUAAGAAUUUACCAUAAGAUUUGGAGUUCCAAUAGACCAAAAAUGUCCACAGAAAUGCAUUCCCGGGAUCUAAUAGAAAAACAAAGCAUAACACCAGAAAAGAUGUUACCUGCUGUCAUGGAAUCGAUAAACUUAGAUCUUUGGCAGUCUGAGUUCUGAACUGCUAAGUGGUUAAUCCACAUAUCUAGCAGCUGAAACCCAUGAAUUAACAGCGCCUGCAAAAAAAUUCUAAUGAGUUCUAUAUUUUGUUGACCAUGGCUACAAAAGAAAGACAACGAGUAGGACAAAGAAGACAACUGUUAUAAAUUAAGUACCUGCAAGGUCUCAAAAGCUAUACUGCAUGGCUCAAAAAGUAACAACAGAUACACAGAGGAACCAAUUGUAUUGUAUGUCAUAAGGGAAAGUUUUAUCCUGCAAGAUUGGAGGAGAAAAGUAAAUCCUUUUACUCAGUAUCUCAUCCAGACAUGCUUGAAAUUGGUUACUAAAAAGUUAUCACACAAAGAAAUCAAACGAGUUUCCUAACUGGACUGCAGUCCACAAACAUUAUGAACUCAGACACAACAUUUUCCUUGCUCUACGGCAUCCACAUUUUCACACAGAAGUUUUUGGCUUUACUUUCACCUUGACGCAGAGUUCAUGCAUAGAUGAAUUUCAGGAUAACAUCUCUCACAAUAUAGCAUAAACAUAAAAAGCAAGCUAUGCACUCUCUCUAUGUUGUUAAAGAGCUUUAUGAAGUUGUUCUUGACGGACUGCGGUAAAUCUAGAGAACAUCUACUCUGAUCCUUUAACAUAAACCAGGAGUGUUUGAGAAGAAAAACAAGUUGUAUGUAUAGGAUCAAGAUCAACUUCCAGGAGCACCACUUUUCAAUUGAAAUUAAGAGCGUCAGCCAUGUAGGUUAAUUUUUUUUACCUAAGUUUUGUUUAAGAAGUAUAUAUAGAGUCCAGAGAGAACAUUGAAUGGAAACAUGACUUCGAUAGUUUAAGGUCAUGAAUAGAUAGAAGAUGCAGCAAUUGAAUAUUUGACACUAUACCGCAGGGUUUAGGAUUUACCAGAACAUAUCAACAGAGAGGACCAAGAACAGCACUGAAUACACACGAAAGUAUGUCCAAGGUGUAGAAGAAGGAGAUGCAUUCAAUCGUUCAAGCCGGUCUCUAGCCAAAGCUUGAAACAUCUACAUGGCAUUACAAAAUACACAUUAGGGUGUUACAAAAGAUAAUUCAGAAUUUGGUUUCUCGUAAAUCAAAAACACGCAGUGUUCCAUACCUUUAAAGUACAUAGAACAGUCAACCAAACUGUCCACAGUACACCCUGAAAUAUUGUUGGGGGAAUCACCAGUGGUAGAAACGUACCCUAAGGAUAGGAGGAUUAGAAGCGGGAAUAAACUAUUAACAUCCAAAAUACAUACAGAUAUCUGCAAAUAACUCGAAUCAAGGAAACACUACACAAAAAUGCAAAGUUCAAGGGGAAAUGAAGGGAAAAUGUGGUAGAAUCAUCUGUCUAAGUAAAGACCUCCCUCAAGCCUCAAAAACUAUUUUCUUCUCUUUUCCAUUACUCUGUCAUUAUAAUAAUAUUCCAUUUGUUUUCCUGACGCAGUUACGAUAUUGAAUAAUGAAAACUACCAAGAAUAUCUCAUACGAAACAAAGAAUGUAGGUUAUUGUAUGUCACAGUCUUAGUUUUCAAUCAAAGUAAGAACAGCUACCUUGUAUAUGAUAUAAUUGGCAAGUCGCUCCACCAACUUUUUAGUUUCAACGUCAUAUAAAUCUCCAAAAAAUAGAGUCUGCAGAAGAUGUUUAAAAGACAUUAGAAGCACAGAAAAUUGUCACAAGACAUAUGUAAACAAUCAGUAUACUAUGGUAGCAAACAGUAUGAAAUUAUUGAGUUUUCUUUCAUGCAAGACAUUCGACUAGCCGGAAACGAGAGUUUGACUCUUACAAAUUAAGAACACUUGCUUCUUCACAAACCUUUAUUUGAAGGUGAAAACUAAUUAUAAUGUAUUCGAUUGUAACCAAACUAAGAACUGUAAAUUGGACUCUUUUUCCAACAAAAGAGAAAAUAAGUGGUGCAAGUCUGAAAAUUUAAGAGCAUAAAUUUUUUUUUCCCAAAGCAACAAGUGAAACCAUUAAGAAUAAGAGUAACAAAUAAUGAGACACCUCUGUACAAGUGACUUAUGUAGAUUAGGAGGCAAAAAGCUAAGUCUAAGGAUAUGAGGAAUUUCAUAAAGGUAUUAACCGCUCAAAGUAUUAACUAAUGAAAUUAGGAAGUUCAGUUUCACCAAUUUGAUACAGUCUACAAAAGCUAAAUAUUAGAAAGAGCAUUGCUUAAAUUGCAUCCCAGUAGUAAAAUGCUACUCUAAUAAAGUCUUACCUUGAGAGAAAGUACCAGAAGAAUAUACACAUUGAGCACAAAAUUAGUGAGCAGCGCAAUAGUGAAAUAAGAGGCGAGAAGCAGCUCAAGCGCAUGCUCGGAGUCUCCUAAAGAAACGUUCUUGGCAAUCAGCCCAUCAGCUCGAAGUCUAUCGAGAGAAAACUCUGUCCAGACUUGAAGUCCAACAAAGCUGAGAGCUGUUGAUGCUACGGAGAGCGGCAAGUACUUAAUCCCCAUUAGGAACAAUAACAGCCUUCCCACUUAAACUUAAUCCCCAGAAUCUCAUUUAGUCAUAUUAGCAUGACGCCAUCUGCAGCCACAUGAUCUCUCAUUAGUAUUAAGACUCGGACGAUACAAACAACAACAACAACAAAUUGACCAUAUUUGCAUAAAAAGAUGAUUUUUUUUUUCUUUUUCAGAAUCUAGAGAAAAUUGAGCUCCAAAGCAGAGGACAUCCAAAAAUUGGAUUCUUUUAGAUUUGAGUCAUAUUUCCACAGGUGAAAUUAGAUUUGUAGAGAAGCCAAAAAUGCAAAAGAGAGGUUCCAAGUACAAGGCCCGAUUCACCGGAAAGAAAAAAGAUAUGAUCCCAAAAAUUCACAGAAGAAACAUAAAUCAAAAAUCCAAAAUUGAAGAAAGGAGCUGGGAGGAAUAAAAUGCAGAGAUCAGAGUUGUAGAAAUGGAUCGAUUCGCAGAAAAACCUGAAUCCGCGAAGCUGUCGGUUGUGAAAUUCUCUGAAAGCACCGUGCCUCUCUGUCUUUCUCUCGAUCGAGAGAAUCGAAAAGUAGAAAAGCAAAAAUCGAUAUCUUCUUCUUCCUCGAAACAAAACUUUUCUUAUUAAUUAAAAAACAAAAGUAAGAAAAUAAAACUGAUACGGUCAACACAUGUUUUUUUUUUGGUGGUUAAUUUUGUCAACAUAUGUAUGCUUGCUCACUUACGGAAAAUUUUUAAUAUAACAUCUAAAUAAUAUUUUAACUCGUUUAUAUAUGGUUUUGGUGAAACCAAAAACUCUAGUUAUAAUGUUUAGACUAAUCAUUUUUACCAACAGCAAAAUGAAAUAUACAUCUUACGAAAGAUAAAUUUUAAUUAUUUUUAAAUUGCUAGAAUUUGAUUUUUGAUAACCCAUUAUUUUUGACGCACCAACAAAUUUGAAUAUGACCGAUUCAACCAAAAACACCUUUAAAAGUCAAAAAAGUUUUUUCUUAAGUUGGUCUAGUUCCCACUAUUCUCCCAUAGAAGAAAACAAAUAAACAAGAGCUAAAAAUUCAUAUGGAUCAAUGCAAGCCCAUGUAAGUUAACUAUAUUUGGGCCUUCUAAGCCCACUAAUGAAUCUUCAAUCUCCGACUUAUUAGUUUCCAGAAUUCUAAAGAUCUUCUCGAAUUUCGCUUUUAAUUCCGUCAAUCACCGAUCAAAUCAUAAACCCUAAAAAGAAACUCCGAUCUAGUUCGCACCGGAGUGGAGAAGAAGAUGGGAAUAAUAAGGAGCAGCUUCUCUUUCAUCACGGGAACAGUGUGCGGGAUCUACAUCGCUCAGAACUACAACGUUCCUAACAUCAAGAAGCUUAGUCACUGCGCCGUUUCAAUGGCCAAGCAAGUUGAGGAGAAAUAUCGCAAGCCCAAAAGCAGAGACGACGUUUGAGAUACAGAUUCCACUAGCAGCUUCUCCGGUGAAUUCACCCAUCUUUUUCCUCCUGAUAAUUUUGCUACUUCUUAAGGUUUAUGUGUAAUUUGUGGGAUUGUAAAUUCAGUGAAAUUUGACAAUCAAAUGAAGAUUCUUUUCUCCGAUUGCUGCAAUUUUCAGCUGAUUUUAUCAAAUUAGGUAUUUAUUCUCAUUCAAACUUUAGAAAGUGAAGACAUGAUCAUGUUUAAGACAACUGGGAAAAAGGAACCAACUUUAAAUAAAAAGUCUCGAAAUCAUGAAGGAAAAAAAAAACUCAAAGGAGGACAUCAAUGGGAGCUCUGGAUGCUGGUGAUGAUGAUGAUGCAGCUACUUCUUCUUCUGAUCCAAACAACAAAGCUUUGACUUCUGCUAUGAUUAGUUUAGUGAGCAACAAUCCAGAGAUCAAAGCCGCAGUCAUCAACAUGUAAAACACUGCGUCCCAGCUAAUCGCAGAGAUGUAACCAGUGAGGACUGGUCCAAUCGCAGCACCGACGGAUCCUGUACCGUCUAUGAUAGCUGUGACUGUAGCCAAAGCCCUGGCAUUGCCUUUGAGAGAUUUGUGUGUUCCGAGAUCAGCUGAGACAGCUGUUGUGAUGAGAGCAAAUGGUCCAAUGAUGAAGACUCCUGAUAUGAACAUGAGGAUGACAUUGAUGGUCAAUGAGAUAUGUCCCAAGACUCUGUAGAGGAAAAGAGCUGGGAUUGCCAAGUACAUGAAUCCUGCUGCUGUGAUCGCUCUGCCGUUGAGUUGAUCAGACAUGUAUCCGGCUAAGACCCCACCAACAACACCUCCAACAUCGAAGAUUGUUGACAAGUUUCCUGAUGUCUCCUCAGACAGGUACUCUCCUCCGAUCACUGCAUCACGUAUUAAUUAUUCAGACUUUACAUAUAUCAAGGCUACAACACUAGAGGUAAAAGGAAGGAGAGAUGAUGAGAAACAUACUGUUGUGGCUGACGUAGAAAGGAAGCCAGUAGAGGAAUGUGUAUGAGACCAACUUGGUGAAGAAGAGGCAGAAGGCGAAAGGAGCAACACCGGGGAUUUUCCAAGCGGCCAUGAACCCGACUGCCUUUCUAUCGAAUCCAGUACUCAUUCUAGAUUCCAAGAAGCUCUCUGUAAUGGUGUCACCGAGCCUCAUGGUGGAGUCAAUUUCAGUUCCAUCUCUCUCAGCCUCAACGGUUGGAGGAUUCACCGGCAAGAAAAGGUAAACAACGAUCCCAAGAAAAGUCAUGAGCAAAGCCGGGCCAAGAAAUGACCAACCCCACCCAUAUCUAAGCAGCCCAGAUGCGAUCAGAGACCCUGCGAUGUUACCGAGGGAAGUGUGAGCACUCCAAACACCCAUAACCAUUCCUCUUCUCUUCUUGUCGAACCAGUUCCCGAGCACGGCCACGACACAAGGCCAACCUAUCGACUGAAACCACCCCGCCAUAACCUGAACCGCCAAGAAAUAGUAGAAGCUGUGGAAAUCUGCCCAGAAUGCGACCCCAAAUAGAGCUGUGAAAAGACCGGUCCCGAUCAUUCCGAUAGUCAGAAACGUCCUGAGAUCCAAACGAUCUCCCAAGUGGCCCGCCACAAACAUCCCAACCGCAUAGACAGAGAGGAAAACCAAGUCGAUCUGCCCAAGCAAGGCUGGUCCAUCGGGUCCAUCAAAAGGAGCCCAACCGCCUUUGAUUGUUGAUGCGGAAAGCGUUCCCUUGACAAUGCUAUUGGGCUUUCGAGCAGCAUGGAAGGCGACGUAGGCGACAAAGGUCAAGAUAAAGACAAGGGCUUGGUAUUGCUUGAAGGAGAGUCUUCCUGAACGCUUAAACCGUUCCAAGAACUGAAUACCCCAUGGCUUGGUUUCUUCAUACAGGAACUGGGAUGAAGUCCAUGACGCCAUCUCUUUAACAACUCCUCGCGACGCCAAAACCUGAAAAGCAGAUGUAGAUAUGAAUUUAUUGUCUUUUCAUCUAUUACUUGUAAAACAAGAAACCUCAAUCUCUUGUAAACAAGCAGAACGAAAGUAUACAGAAAACUAGAAGAGAAUGUUGAAUGAACCUGCAAUUGUGAUCACCUUUGAAAGUUGAAGAGAGGAGAAAAGUAUCUCUACCUCUCUCUGUUCUUCAACUUCAAUGGGUUAGAAGCUGGGAGGGAUUAAAAUCACUACUUAAAGGACGUGAAACUGGCUCUUUAAUAACCAUAUUUGACCCUUCGCUGUAUUUUUUUAUUGACCAAGCCUUUUGCUUCACUGGCCUCCAGUUUUCUAGAUUAAAACGCAAGCUAUAGUACAUAAGGCUAAACCUGAACUCACAAAUCGAGAAAUAAAAACUAGAAACAAAUCAAACUAAAGAAGAUGAGAAUCAUCAUAUCAGUCGAAACCUUCAACACAAAAUGUCGAAUUGUUUAAUAAUAGUUGAUGUGUAGUAGCAAAGUCGGCGUCCGGUCUGUCGUUUGUGCCCGCACGUAAGAACAUUAAACCUCUGACUCUAACUCGUUUCUUCAUCCAAAAAUUCAACUCAUUGAUUGUUUAAUUUAUCUACAGAACUAUACCAAAAUUCAACUAAUAACAUUCUUUAGAAUGGUACUUCAUUUUUGUGUCCAAAUUCAUUUUUCUCUACUUCAUGGGAAGAUGUCCACAUAUACAUUUCUAUUAACAUUAAGCAUCUUAGGGCACACGCAGUAGUACAUGUGUGUCUUGGGUGUAAACAGUAUUAUAAUAUUAUAAUAAAGUAUUAUAAUAAAGUAAAGAAAGAGAGAAAUAGUGAGAGAGAUGAUAAUUUUUGCCUGUCUCCGACCGAGUUUUUGCCUGUCUCCAUUCAGCGCUGGCCACGUGCCACUUACACCCCUUGGAGAAAAGUUGCAAGUUUACACCCGUUGCCUCUCUCCAACCUUGUUUUUCUAUUAUUUUUGUUUUUUUUAUUCCUUACACCCGGGUGAAAAGUGCCCCACUGUGUAUGGUCUUAAUCAUUAAAAAUGGCAAGCAUAAUGUAUUGGUUAUUAUCUGUUUAAAAAGUUGGUAAUUACACAAAUUUACUAAAACUUUAGAUAAUGUGUUGCUAUGUCAGAAGUUGUUAUUGGUGUCAUGUUUUCUUGAACUUCAGCACUUAGCAACUCUGUACAGGUAGUCCAUUCUCCUUUGCCUUCCAUAACAAUAGCUUACUCACAUUACAAGUUAAUAUGACAAGUUGUUUCACAACUGUAACAUAAAAGAGUUGGGCCGUUUUUACUAAGGAUGCUAUAAGUUUGGCUCUGCGUUGCUUGUUUUCGGUAUAACCUUAACUUUAAGACUACGGUGGGUUUUGAUUUUCGUCUAAAAACAUGAGAUUUUGUGUCGAUUUCGUCUAAAAACAGAAAACUGCUAGAGCCAUUCCAUUUUCUGGAUAAUUUUUCAGAAACCGAACAAAGAGAAGAACUAAAUAAUAAUCAAAAGGGUCUUAUACCCAAACCAAGCAUCCAACAUAGGGGCAUAGAGAAAAUACGACAAAGACUUACAUAAGAUUAGUUCCACAAGCUAAAAUGCAUAAUAAAAAGACUCAAAAUGCAUACUAAAAAGUAAAAAGACAAACCGCUCAGGAUUCAUAGGCUUUGAAUAUCAUCUUUGCAGUUUCGUUCACGAGUCCAGACCUCUGCAAACAUAGCUCAAACUCCUUACCCUUGAGCUUCUUCCAUUUUUCCUCCACUUCUCUCUUCUCUGCUCCAUCCGCAACCUUUGCCCAAACCGCAGUUAUUGUGGAUUCAUCCAAACCACAAGAACUCUUAUUCUCUGCAUUGAAGAACGAUGCAAUCUCUCUACCAAUGGAGAGACUUGUGUUCACAACCUUUGUCUCUAUUUUCUCCGGUUUCUUCGCCUCUUCUUGUUGUUUCUUGGGAGAGGAAUGAGCAACUAACUUCAUCUCUUUCGGGGCAGGGGUUCCUCCAACUUUCUUCCUUGAUGAUUUAGAAGCCAAAACACCACUGCUUCCCCAAAUCUUUCUCGACAAUUCAAAGCCUUUCUGCUCAAUAUCUUUAGCAAAUUCAAUCUCAUCUUCACUCUUUCCCUUCUUAAGCGACUUCUUCACAGUGUUAUUAAACUUCUUCUUCAACCUCUGAAGUUUGGUAACGAUUUGGUUUUUGGUAGCAUUGAAAUCGAUCAACUUCUUAACAUAAAUGCAAAAAGCAUCAAUAUCCUCAUAAGGAUCUCCUUUGGUAGAUGUGAAAUCAAUAAUACCUUGAAGCAAGGCAAUCUCAUCAGCCUCGCUGAACAAUCUCUGAAACAUCUUCUUAGCAUCAUCUCCAGAAAUCUUCUUAACCUCAUCAUUUGUUGUCGGCUUCUUCACAUGCUCAGUCUCCGAUGUCUUGUGCUUCUUAAUAGCUUCAGAAGCAUGUUCCUUCAAAGGACGCUUAGCCGUUGAACUCUCAGGUACAGUCGCGGCAGAUCCAGACUUGUCUGGAAUUGGUUUGGUCACAAGAGGCAUCAGCUCCAUCGUCUUAGCAGGCUCCGAAUCGGAUUCGGACUCCGAUUCAUAUUCACCUUCAGAGUCAGAUUCAGGCUUCUUGGAAGACUCGUCUUUCUUCGAAACUUCAGCAGAAGACUCAGAUUCUUCUCCAGAUGAGCCAGAUUCCUCUUCUUCACUGGAAGUAGGAGGGUUGUCGACCACUUCCUCUGCCUUCUUCGGUGCCAUCGAAUACAGUUACGAGAGAGAGAGGAGACAGAGAUCUGCGGGAAGCUAGAGUCUUCUUCUUCAGCUUUUCUAUUUUCCCGUCGCCGUCGAUUUGCUUUGCUCUUAGGUUUUGUGAUUUUAGGUUAGCGUCGGGUUUUUGUUUUUUUUUUUCUUUUAAUUUAUUUUGUGAAUUCGAUAAUAGCCGAUCGAUUCUUUCAAGUUGGGCUGUCCAACGCGCUAACACGAACGGGCCUGAGCUAUUUUGACGAGUUUUUAAUAGACCAGUCCGUCGACAACUACACAAGUAACAUCAGAAUCCGUCUUAAGAGAGGCGAUGCUUCCUCCAUACAAUCAACGACACGUGUCCGUCUCUCUAAAAAUCUCAACGACACGUGUUCGUCUCUCUUGUUUACUCAAUUUUGAAUUAUUUUUGAUCAAAUAAAAGAAGAGAACUCAUCAAAAAAGUGGAAACCUAUGUUGCAUGGAAACUCUUUUCGAUGUCCGUUUCUCGUUUUCGAAACGGAAACUUUCCGGAAACACGAAAAACGUCACGAAAACGCGUUUUCUAAAAAUCUAUAUUUGGAAACACAAUGAAAACUCACGUUUCUAAAAUGGAAACGCGACAAAUCCUUUUUAUUGACUUUGGAAACUUAAUAAAUAAAAGUAGAAAAGAUUAAAAUUUAUAAUACAUAUAACUAAUUUUGGAAGACUCUUGAGUUUUAAGAUUUUUUUAUUGACAAACUAGAUUUGGAGACAUCUUUAUAUGGUCUACGAUGAAACUAAUGAAAAUAAGAAUAAAAAUGUUGAUCUAAAUUAAAUAUUUGAACGUGAACCUUUUAAUCUUUUUUCUUUUAGAAUUUUAGUUAAUCUAUUUAAUAUUUGAUGUUUUGGACUUGUAUUAUUUAAUUAAACCAUUUUUUAUAGUUUUAUGUUAAUGUUAUAUAUAUACAUAUAUUAUAUAUGUGUAUACGUUUCCAAAACGUUUCCAAUCCCUAAUUUUAGAAAAAAAUCGUUUCCCGUUUCCGAAACGUUUCGCUUCCACGUUUCCGUUUCCGUUUCCAUGCAACAUAAACGAAGACAACCUCCUUUGGAGAUGCUCUUGGUCUGUCUUAGAAAAAAAAGUUCAAACCCAUAAAUGUUCCAAUUAUAUGUUCCAAUCUCAAUUUAAACGCAAUUCCGUUUUCCUUGUGAACACAAAGAUUAGACAUAUAAACCAAAUUAGCUAGCAAGAAGAUCAGGAAACUUAUUUAAUUUGUGCUUGAUUUGGGUUGCAAAUUUUGAUUUAAGCAAGACCAAAAACACCGCCUCAAGAAACAUAAAAGAGAUUCCUUCAGCUUUAGUCUUCAGAGACCAUGACUACACACACUUUAUUCAAAGACAAAAAACAAAACAAAACAAAACAAAAACAAGAACAUAACAACCGACAACGUUUUAGUUGAUCUCGAUCUGACGAACAUCAUUUCUCUCUUGCUCUUUCAUCUUCGGAAUCACAACUUUCAAAACUCCGUUCUUCAUCUCCGCCUUAAUCUCAUCAAUCUUGUAAAUCUUCUCCGGCAGUCCAAUCCUGCUAGUGAAUCUCCGAUUACCGCCCUGAUCUUCUUCCUCGCCAUCAUCGUCUUCGUAUUUCCCUUCUCCUCUAAUCACCAGAGUGUCCUGCUCCAAAGCCAGCUUCACAUCCUCUCUGCUCAGCCCAGGCAUGUCGAUUCUCAGGUAAAGAGCAUCGUCUUUCUCUUUUAUAUCCCAACCACGACGAGCUCCUGAAGCUCCCAUGCCACGAGUAGCUGAUAACAGAGGAUUCUCCAUGAACUGGUCCAUCAGAUUCAGCACUUGACUAACGCUCCUCGUCGGCGAAAACGGAUCAAAGACAUCUGCACAAAAUCCAUAUCAAAAUUUUAAGAUCAAUGUUAGCUAAUCUAUGAUUUCUUACUAAAUUUUAGCUCCGUUAACAAGAGAAAGAUAUAGAUCUGGUUGAGUUACCUGAGAAGAAAUCACCACGGCGGCGAGGAACAGAGCGGCGAUCGAAAUCAACGCCUUGUCCAUUCUCGCCAUCGUCGUCGUAGCUCCUCACGGCGUUGGUGUUGAAGAGGCGAGAGGAAACGGAUGGACUAAGAACGCUACGGGAACGUGGAACAAUGGAAGAAGAAAGAAGUCUCUUAAGAGCAAGGGAAGAUGCCAUUUGUAGAGAAAUAUGAAGCUUUUUUGAGAAAGUUUUAACAGAGAGUAAGUAGUGUUUUAUCUGAGAACUGUGUGUGGCGAUAGUGGAGACAGAGGAGGUUUAUAUAUGAGUAAAGAGUGUUGAAGGUAGUAGAUAUUAUCAGGUGAGUGAAUGUUCUGGAGAGGUGGAUAUUUCUCUGGAUCGUUCUAGAGGUCCGUGGCUCCCAAGCUAAUGAGUGAAACAAAUAUAUUGUUUAUUAACGGGCCACGGCCCAUCGUAUUAGGCCAGGUUUACUAGAUUUAUGGUCAACAAGUCAAAUGACCCUAGAUCAUGGAUUCAUGGUACAUGAAUGAAAACGACCAAAAGCCGAGGCGGCCACCAACCACCGAACGUGGGAAGGUCUGGUUUGGGCAAACAUUCGGAAAGAACAAAAAGACUCGGAUAUUGGAGAAGGCAAAUAUAUAUUGGUAUUGAGGUUAAAAAAUUAUUUUUGGCCUAAUGACUAAAACAGUUUGACGACGCUCUUAAGGUUUAUUUAUUCAACGUAGACUAGAUACCAUAGGGCCGUUUUGAAUUGGACCUUUUAAGUUUUGAUUUUAUAUUAAACCGCCAUGUUGUUUAGACGAAAGAUAAAACAAAAGACGUGUCUCUAGCUAAGCUGACCUUCAUAUGCUUUGACAUUAUACAUGUAUUAUGAUCUCUUCUUCUUUUUUUCUUUCGAAAAAAUACACUCGAAUUUAGAAAUAUUUUGAUAUGUAGACUGUAGACACACAUACAUGCAGAAGUGUUCUAAUUACCUGCGCCUACGUGCUGUCAACUCCUACAAAUCCCCAACCGUUAUCUAAGAGAUUAAAUAUACCCCGGCCCUAACUAUAUAAUAUAUCAUAAUUGUUCAAACCAGUGUAUGUAGAAUAGACGAUUCCUUGAACCAUAUAAUUUCAGCUUCAUAUAUAUAAGAUUCCUAAUGUGAAACGAAAACAAAUAUACGAGUCUUGCAUCAUAUAGUUAAUCGUCGUCAAAUAUUAAAGAAGAAAAUGGCAACCACCAAAACCACCGGUCGGAGACUCCGUCCUCCGUCGCCCAAUAUUAACCGGAGCCGGACUAUAAGCUCUUCGAUCUCUCUCCCAGUGUCCUUAAACGCCUCGUUAUCGUCUUCUACUUCUUCCUCCUCUUCCUCUUCGCCAUCCAAUUCAAGCAAGAGAGUGAUGAUAACCAGAUCACACUCUACAACGAGAUCAUCCAGGCCCACCGGAUCAUCCAACCCCAAAUCCGGCGAAAAUAUAAUCCCGGCGAGAAACAGCGCGUCAAGAUCUCACGAGAUAAACAACGGUAGAAGCAGAGAGGCGUUUGCUCAGUACUUAGAUCAACGUGAGCGUGGUAGUCCUCGUAAUAACGCUUCAUCUAGAGGGGUAAAACCGGGAGCGAGCUCACCAUCGGCGUGGGCGUUGUCCUCAGGGAGAGUUUCGACGAUGAAGACAUAUCUGUCCAGCUCAGCUCCGGCGAAUUCAAUGUGCAUGACGCCGCCUGAAUCACCGGUAAGCAAGGCCAAGAUAAGAAGCGGUGGCGGUGGAGCUGUGGCCGGAGUUUUGAAGUACUUCAUGGCGCAGAAGAAAGUAUCUCCGGUCCAAGAGGAGGAUUAUCACCGGUUUAGGGUUUUGCAAAACAGAUUACUUCAAUGGAGGUUUGUUAACGCAAGAACUGAAGCCACUAUGGCUAAACUUAAGAUCAACGUUGAGGUACAAAACUAUAUGAAAAAUAUAUAAAUUAAUUUGUAUCUUAUAAAUAUCUAUUAAUUUGUUUUUGUGAAUGGUUUCAGGAUCAGUUGUUUUGGGUUUGGCUAAGGAUAUACAAAAUGAGGAACUACGUAGUGGAAAAUUUGAUUGAAGUUCAAAGGCUCCGUCAAGAAAUCAAACUAGGUGAAGUUCUCAGCCUCCAAAUGCCUUUACUUAAUGAUUGGUCAAAAUUAGAAGCAAAAAACUCCGAAGCAUUGAGCAAGCUAACUCGAAAACUCCAUGCUUUGUCUGUCCGUUUACCCUUCGUACAUGGUGCCACGGUUAGAAACUUUCUUUCGUUCGGAAAACAAUUGGUUUAUAAAAAUUUUGUGUGUUAGUCAAGAAAACGGAAAAUAAUAUUAUGUAAGUUACAGAUGGAUGUGGUGUCGAUACAUGAAGAAAUGGUCAUAGCUAUACAAGUCAUGGACGAGAUCGAAGACGUCAUUAUCAAGUUUCUCCCACGAGUAAGUCCACCUUAUUUAUAUACAUCUUUUUUUUCCUAACUUUGUUUUAUAGAUGCGUAUAUAAGAAACUAAUUUAAGAAUGUCCGGGUAAUUAAAUAUCAGCAGGUUGAAAUAAUCCUAUAUGAGCUGACAGAAUUGAUCGGCUUGUUUAAUCAAGAAUUGUUAUAUUUUGAAGAAAUGGACAAGAGUCUUUUCUCCAUUCCUCUCUUUGCGGUAAAAUCAAUCAUUACUUUCAUUAUAUUUAAUUUGACCGGUCCGGUUUAAAUCUUAUACGUGGAAGCUGCAAUGGCUAAAUUGGUGAGAUCUUUGUUUUAACAGGCGAAGGAGAGGAGUUUGAAGGUCCAUAUUCUCCAGAAGAGUGAAGAACAGAGAAAAAAAAAGUUGUAUAAUAACUCAAAAGUUAGGACAUGUAAUUAAAUGUUAAUAACAUUGAACAUUUUGCAAACUGGAAUGCUGCUUGUUUACCAAAAAAAAAAAACUGGAAUGCUGCUACUUCUAGUUAUUUAGUUCAACCUAUCCAAAAUAAAUUGUUGAAAUAUAUAAUGAUAACUUUGUGAUAUAUAUGAAUGAUUGAAGCCAUGUGUAUAACAAAUUUCGUAAUGCAAUUUCUACAGUACCUUAAUGAAAAUAUACUUAUACAAAAAUGAGAUAUCAAAUAAAAAAAAAUGUCCAUCCAAUCACAUACACAUAUAAAUGUUUUACACUUCUCACCAAGAAUGUUUAUCAAUAAUAAUUGUAAUUUCCAAAGAUAUAGAUAUAAAGAUUGACAACAAAGUUAAUAAAAGCGCUAUUAGGUCAAUUGGUAAUUCAGCUUAUCAGAACUGCAGAGGUCUCGGGUUCGAAACCCUCUUUUCCUAAAUCCCCAAUUUUUUUUUCCCCCGUUUCCGAAUCUCUUGCCGGCGGGCGUUUCCCAUGAAUUCAGGCGACCAAGUUCCCCGGAAGUCGAAGGUAACCUCUACUGAUUCCAUCUUCUUGUUCUCUCCUUGGUAAUUUCAUCUCAAAUAUAGAAAAAAAUUGCGUAUCACUGACCAUUUCUCUCCGUUCCAUUUCGCGGCAGCGGAGGUUCCAACCAAGACCUCCGAAGCCUUCUCUCCGGCCGAUUGCUCCAACCUCAAAAACGUAAUUCUUUUUUUCCCUCGAUCAUUUCUUGUUUAUGCUUGUAUAUAUCUAUAUCUGCUUUAUACAUGUAAAAGCUUUAAACUUUUUUCUCUGAAACACAGCGAAGCUGAGGCUGAGGAGGAAGAGAAUAGAAAAGCAGCUCGACAAUUAGCCAAACGUAUCGGCGUAUGUAGUGAAUCUUCUCACUUCUAAUAUUUUCUUUCCUCUUAAUUUCAUGGAAAUUUUUUGUUAAACAGUUAUUAGUUUAAUCGAAAUUUCCCUGAUUUAGAUUAUGAUAUAUACAAAAUACCAAAACGGUGUGCUUUUCUUUUUGGUCUGACCUUUAAUAGUUUUGAAUCUCUGCCUCAUUUCCUUUGCUAGCUUUUGUUGAUUGCAUCAAUUUAACUACCUUGUUAAUGAUGGCUUAGUGACCAUGAAAUGAGUUGGUCUAUGACACCUAACAUGUUGAUUUGUAGCUUAUAACUGGCUUAGUUGUUAUCUCCAUCACUUAAUCCAAAUGCUCAAUGUUGAAAACUUAAAACUUUUUUGUGUUGUUGUUGCAGACUGGCCAGAGGAGACCCAAAACCGAAACGAAAGGUAUGUAUAUCCAUGUUAUAUGUGUAUUCGCAUUCUUCAUUUUAUCGAGUUGUGUUUGAUCUCAUUUCUGUAAAUGAGUUAUCGGAAAACCAUGUGUGAGGAAGGUGAUAGUAUGUAUUGUAUUAUAGCAGCGAUCGUUCUUGAAUAGCUUUUGAAAUCUUUGCAGCUUCUUCUCCUGAAGUUGCAUUCCAACCAAGCUUGUCAUCACUUGCAAUAAGGUCGUUUAGUGUUCCUAAAGAAGAUGACAAGCCCAGUUCUGAUGUAUAUCCCUCUUCUUCUGCUGGUAUUCUUCCUCCUGUUUCGUCUAUUACUCCCCAAGAAGAUGAAGAGGAGGUUCAUAAUUUGGUUACAAGAACUGGGGAAGACUACGUUGAACCUUGGGUAACCAGAAUCUUUCGAUACAAGUUGAUUUUCUCUCCCAGUUUCUCUUGUGUUGAUUUAUGUGACAUAAGGUUUGGCUCAUUUUAUUAUGUUCCAGGAUUAUAGAAACUCAUACUAUCCUACCGUUCUUCCAUUGAGAAAGCCUAACUCUGGUGACCCAGGUAUUCUCGCUCCCGGCUUUGCAAUAGCUUUACGCCAACUAUUCAGAUGUGAAUGUGUUUGCUCUGUAAAAUGCCUGCAGUUUUCCCCUCUGUCUGUAAACUGAAACCUACUUCUUGUGUUGUUAGAACUUCUUGACCAGGAGGAAUUUGGGGAAGUGGCUAAACACCGUGAUUAUGAGGAGAACACCAUCAACUCAGCAGAAGAACUCGGUCUGACAUCGGUAAUAAACUUGUAAACAAAUUUAUGUUGACAGACAUGUAAACUCUUCACUGAGUUUGACUGAUUGUAUUUUCUGAGCUCCAUGCAGGUGCAACACUGCAAAAAUCAGAUGUUUUUCUUUAAGAUCCCGGACUGUCUCCCUGUAAUGAAGCAAUCGACAGGAGCAACCACCAAGAGAUCAGUACGGGAGUAUAGUUCAGGGAGAAGCAACCCAUUUGAAGGUUUACCAGAGGGAUUCAUGGGCAAAAUGCUGGUUUACAAGAGCGGUGCUGUCAAGUUGAAACUUGGAGAUGUCCUCUUUGAUGUAAGUCAUUUUCGUCUCGUCACUAUUAGAUGUGAACCCACAUAUCUGAUUCUGUGUUGGAAUCACCUCUGCUUGUAGCCUCUUCUUCAUCUCUUUUAACUCUCGGUCCUAUGCAUAUAUGCAGGUCUUACCAGGUCCGAAUGCAAAAUUCCAUAAUGAUGUGGCAGCAAUCGACACCAAAGGGAGGAACUGCUGUCGCAUUGGUUCUUCAGCCAAGUUUGUGACUGUUACUCCCGAUGUUGAGGCUCUUUUGAACUCUGCUUCAGACAUGGAAACACACAAGUGAAGGUUGUUCUGGAUAUAGCAGGUCCUGUUCAUACAAGGAUGUGAAAAGCGUAGUAUUGACCACUUAGAUUCUGUAACUACAACCUAAUCUUCAGCCAUGAUCGUAAAAACUCUUCUUGUUGUCUUCUUCUGUAGUAAGAGAUUCACAUUCGGGAUAAAAGAAAGCUUUUAACAUUUUGACACAUUCAGAGUUCUUAUUAUAGAAAUCUUCUAAAAUGUCAACAAUGGAGAACAGAACCAAAGAUUAUCAAACAAACCACAAUAUGACCUGAAACAAAGCUAAACAAGCAGCAUGAUGAAGACCAUAUGUAUUGUCGGCUAAUUUGAAACGAUCAAGACUUGUUGCAGGCUCGGGACACCAUCACGACCAGCAGAACCACGAUGGAGAGCAGGACCGAAGUCGUCAGCCUUUCCUCGAGCCAAUUGUUGAAUUUGGCAUCUUUCCCCUUGUUGUAAACACCAUCACCAUUGUAACAAUUGAAGAGCUCGGUCACGACCUUUGUUAUUUUCACAAACACUUCUGUGGCCUUAACCAUUGUGUUGUCAAAUACCCACUUUAUGAAAUCCACUGCUGCGUUAUUCUCCCCAGGAGUGUCUUCGGAACUCUCCUCAUCUGUUAUAAGAAAAAAUAGAAACACAGGACUAGGCAAUGAGUGCCCUGAGAGGAGUUUCAAAUGAAAAGGCUUAUAUUGAUAAAUUCAUUAUCCCUAUACCUUGACUUAUGCCAUUGUUGUACAAGUCCCUAAUCUCUCGCACCACAUUGUUGUUCAUCACCGCCUCCCAGACUGCUUUGUCAGACGACAAUGAUACUACCAUUUUCUGCAUAAAAUGUGAAAAGCCCUUGAUUCAUGUACCAUGAUAUACAAUGAAAUGACCAACCAUGAUUAUUUUCGAAGACAGACACAUAAAGAAAAUGGAUUUCAUUUAUCUAAACCCAUGUUAAGAAUUCAAAUAUUUGUUAGGUGGAUAUAAAACUUAAAACCCUGAGCAUCUAUUUCUUCCCUCAAAACUUGCCGGAUCAAACACAUAGUUAAUAAGACAGAAACUUGAGCCAAGUGUAAUCAAGAAAACAAAAGAAAGAUCACCUGGACAGAUGGUUCGGUUCGUAGUAGGUCAAAAGCAUUGUAAACCUGAUCAUAAGCAUGAGGCUGUAAGGUUCUUGAAUGGCAUAGUUGCAUUGAAGGCUCCAUCCAGUCCGAAUCCGACCCAAACGAAGGAACUUGAUGAACCAUCCCUGUGGCUAUAGGGCUCUGGUUUUCACCACCACUUUCCGGAUAGCACUCGUAUUUGUCUCUUACCAGCUGAGUAUAGGAACUAGCAUCGAAAACCCUUCGAGAAACAAGACUCAACCAUUACUCCAACACGUCAAAAAAAACCCAAUUAUUAUGAAUAAACCAGCAAACAACUUUUGAAAGUAUUUAAGGUUUUAGGUAGUUUAUAGUACAAACAACUGUGUGGGGUCAAAUUGACACGGGGACACAGCUGAAAGAGUUUCAAACUUCUUCAAGAUCAUCAGAUCAAGACAAUUCCAUCCAUAUCAGAAAAAAAGUUUAAAACUUUUAAACACUAUAGCAGUCCAUGACAAUUCUCGUGGAACUAAUACCUACCACUCAAAGCUGAUCCAUUUAUGAGAUUACUUGUCAAUAAUUUCGACAAAACUCAAAGCUCAAAUAGUCACAUCAAAACAAUCACACAUUUUCAAGUGAAAUGAGAAAAGAAAAGAGAUUUGAUUACUGCUGGAGAGCAGAAACAGCAUCUUGGACUUCGUCGACAGAAGGAACAGAGCCAAACAGAGAAUCGUCUUCUUCCUCAGAAACCCACUCAAAAUCCUCAUAACCUCCGGAAUUAACAAAGGAAAAAGCGCCGCCUUUCCAUCCGGAGGUUGCAGCCACCGGAAGAUUCAACAACAACCCUGAAGCCGCGGAAAUCGUAAGAUUAUUCGACCCAGAAGAAGAAGAAGAAGAAGAUCUCUGUUUAUGGACAUGCGAAACAGAGGCCGGCGACGACGUGGACGAGGAUAAUGAAGAAGCAAAGGGAUCUUGAAUACCACCGUUGGCUACGCCGGUCCUCGUCAUCGCACGACCGGCGGCGCGUAACAUACCACCGCCGCCACCCAUAGGCCCUCUUCCACCACCAAACAUAGAGAUCACUAUCAAAUUGUUUUUUCUUUACUCAAACGACAGGUUGCGUAUGUUUACUCGGUGAGUUUGUCUUUUGGUCUACCGAGUCGAUGAAUGGGUCCGAUGCUAUUUCUUAGGCUUUUUGCUUGAAGCAGUUUUGAUUGUAUCGAGGAAGUGGAUAAAGAUUUAUAAAUGCAAAAUGGCUUUUUAUGACUUUCUUUCCUUUGCUUUGGUCCUUCUUCUCCACGACACGCUUAUCCAUUUACUCUGUUUUUUUCUUUUUCAUUAAAAUACUACUCCACUAUUGUUAUAAUAAUUGUUUUCCAUACUGGAUUUUUUUUUUUUUGACGGCCAUACUGGAUUAAUUGAUACAGUAUAUAAUAAAAAUUGAUAUCUCAUUUUUUUGCUUAAUCCAAAAUGAUAUUUGCAACAUACAGAAUAAAAAUUGAUAUCUGAUUUUUUUGCUUAAAAUUAGAGGUGAACAGUUGACAAAAAAAAAUUAGAGGUGAACAUGUAGAUCAAAUUAUAUCGUAAACUUUCAUAUUCAAUUUUGGAUAAUUUAAUUUGAACGUGGUUAAAAACCUAAAACCAGUACGUAAUAGUAGUAGUUUUCUUUUUUUCCGUAUAACAUGUAUGAGUUUAGAACUUUAGAUAAACCAAAAAAUAUAAGUAGGUCUUUUUCAUUUUGAGUUCCGGUAGCGUUUUCAGUUGGAUUUGACUUUACUUGAUUGAUUUUUAAUCCAAAUUACUGGAUUUUUAACAUAUACUGUAUAUAGUUAUAUACUGGAGUAUAUAUUUUUCUUCUGUUCGAGAAUGUCGUCAACGUACAUAAGUUGAUAAUUUGAUAUCCGUAUGUAUCUGACAGGUGGGUAGUAAGUUUAUUACUCGCUAAUAUGUUUUCAUUUUCAGUCUUUGUAGACUAUUAAAAAAAAAAAUCGUACACAAAGGUUAAAAUUGUUGGAGAUACAAUCCAAGUCCCACAUCGGAAGUUUGAUGGGACAAUCAAUAAUAUAUAAAGGGUUAGGGCCAAUCCACUAAUUGCCAAUUGUUUUUUAGUUGGAAGCCCAAAAUUAGCCUAAAUUUAACAAAAAUACAGUGUUUUCUAGUUAAAUGUAAAAUUUGGAAAAACAAGUAAGAAUGGGUUAUUUUUGUAUUUGAACCUUCAUGAGUCAUAUUCAGCAAUUAAUAAUAUUUAUAUCUAAUUCAACAUUGUAAAUAUCAUAUUUAAAAGUUCUUCCACAAUCAAAUUUUCAUCGUCGCCAUAUAAUUAGAGUUUCAACGAUUUAGGGAAUCAAAGUACUACAGAAAAGAUGUAACACUCGUCUUCGACUUCGUGUAUUAAAAGAAGAUAUUGACCACAAAAAAAACAAUCGUAAGAAAAUACCCAUGUGCAAACUUCUUAUUCAUAAAUACAUAAUCAUUGCUAUUAGCUGAUGUCUUUUAUCCAGUUUCCAUCACAGAAAAUUCUGCCUUUUUCCGUUCAAUUCUUUUUUGUUAAAAAGAGAUCUCUCAACUGUUUUUUUAUAUAUAUAAAGUCCGAAUAAUUUUGGUCCGUUAUGCAGCAUAAUUAGAGAAUAUUAUUUAGUGAAAAUUAAAACAAUGUUGAUGUAUCUUCUUACAUUUUUUACAGUUUUGUUAAAAAAAAUCUUUUGUUUUUGUAUCAAACAAAACGAGAAUGGAGAAAAUAACCAUUGACCUGAAAGACAUUCAAAAUACACAAUAGCAAUAUGAAUAUCAGACUCAAUAGCAUGAAAACUCCAAAACCAAUUUGAAAGUCGGAAGACAUUUCGUACGGAAAAGGGAGUUUCAACAUAAGAAAAUAAAAAAAGAUUUUAAUUUUCUAGAGAUAUUUAAUAAUUAAAUAAUGUGUCCUAAUCGGAUAUUUCAUGAGAUAGAUGACUACAAUGGACGAAGAUUUUAGCGUGGAGACAAGACAAGUUUAAAAUCGAGGUUUUCCACCUUUAUCAUAUCAUUAAGGAGACCAUAACAACAAACAAUGACAUGCUAUUCGUUUUCCAUAAGUAACUUAAUGUUUUUCGCUUCUACUUUUGCCGGUCCCAUAGUCCGGUACCAUAUUUUUACUAUCCUCUCCGUUUUAAUUUAGUUAUCAUUUUGGGACUUAAAAUUUAUCACAUAAUAGUUGUCGUUUUAGAUUUUUAAUGCAGAUAUUUUAUAAAAAUUCUAGUUUUAUCUUCACAGUUUUAAUGUUUUGACCAAUAAAAUAAUUUAGAGAAUAAAUUAAACAAAAAUAAAAUAGAAAAAUUGAUUGUUUUCUUAAUUCCUGUACAAAGACCUUAAAUGUCAAAUAAUUCAAAACAAGAGGAAUAUUUUGUUUCUUUUCCUUCCUUUUCUUCUUCUUUGCACCAUUUAACAUUGUGAUCUGGCCCAAUUACUAAUUCGGACAUAUCAGGCCGAAACAUGUUAAAACUCGUAAACCGGCGUUUUAAUUGAACCGGCCAAAUCACGUUUGAAAUGCUAACCAAUGUUUAGUUGAACUCUACCAAAUUCUUGUACCACUCCACUAUGCAUAAAGGGUAGGAGACAAAAAGACGUGAGGUCAUGCGUGCAACUAUGGCGUUGAGGAAUGUAAUUAAAUACCAAAUCAUUAGAGAAUUAAGAGAUAAAACUAUGAUUAAAUUAAUAGCCAAGGCCUAAGGUUGGAGAAAACUUCAUUCUUUUAACACACACUCCUUCUGUCACUCCUCUGAUAAUGAAGAAAAGAGUAUAUACCCAGCACUGAUCCUCCUUUGACCAUUAACAUGACCAACUUGUCUCAUUUUCUUAUUAUUUUCGGUUCUUCUUUUCAAAUCUUUAUAAGAUUCUCUGAUUAUAAGAACCCAUUGAUUUGUUUGUAUCUGAGAUUAGCAGCACCAACGUGGGUCUUCUUCUUCCUCGGCUGCUCUCUUUGAUGGAAGCUUCCACCAUUUCUUCAUCAAGUUUGAGAUGUCCAAUGCCGAAUUAAGAGGCAAAACCCCAUUUCUGUCUUGGGUUUGACUUAAAGUUGCCUCCUUUAAUAACCAGGUAGGUUCUAUUUCUGGGUUUCUUGUUUAAGUUUAUGCCCUGAAGAUGGUCCCUUUGAUUGACUUGGUUAAUGCUUCAUAGUCUUGCGGAUUCUCUGCAAUUGCAAUGUACUCAAAGUUGACAUUUUUCUUGGAAAGUUGAGUUUUUUAACUUUAUAAGAAGCUAUCUUCUAUGGUCGUUGAGUGUUAUUGCUUUACGAUCCUUAAGGUCGUCCAAAUUAGACUCUGAGACAUUUCACUAUCAACGUUAUAAGAGUAUCUCAUGAUCCAUUGGAUGUUCAAGAUCUUGUCAUUUGUCAAUACUUGGUUAUCAUUUGCCAUUUCUGUUUGAUGAGUUGAUAUUAAACAUCCAGUUAUGUGAGUUCAGAGUAUAUUUACUCUGUUGAUUCCCACUGACUGGAUUUUUAGAUGGCUUUACUUAGCUUUCCCUUUCUUUCAUGUUAUCUCUACUUUUGGAACAAAACACUCUUUUUAGACCAUUGUUUUGCAGUGUCUGAAAUGGUUCUAUUGUGCAGGGUAACUAUCAACAAGAAGAAAAAAAGAUAAACAAUGAGUAGAUCACCAGACAAUCUUGCCCUUCCUCCUCCUCCUCCUCCUCCCCCAUCUCGUACCGUCGUUGUGGCUCUAAGUGGGAGCAGUAAAAGCAAAUAUGUAGUUACAUGGGCGCUCGAAAAAUUUGCUCCUGAAGGAAAUGUUGGCUUCAAGCUACUUCACAUCCAUCCAAUGAUUACUUCUGUACCUACACCAAGUAAAGCUCCAACUAUGACUUGUAUUUCUGUUUCUUUCUUGUACUCAGGACUUCUUGUGUUUUCCUUGUUUCUAUUUGGUAUUGUUGUGUAAAACAAAACUAAGACUUAUUGUAACUGAUAAAAGCCUGAUGUACAUUUCUUGCUCCUUCUCAAGUGGGAAAUGCAAUCCCGAUUUCCGAGGUAAGAGAUGAUGUAGUAACUGCGUUUAGACAGGAAAUACUGUGGCAGUCUGAAGAAAUGCUUAAACCUUUCACAAAAUUGUUUGUGCGGAAAAAGGUAUUUCCUUUGGUAUAUAAGAUACCUUAUGUUUUCUAAGAUCAAAAACUGAAGGUUACAUGAACUCAUUGAAUUACCUUAACGAAAGGUUGCAGUAGAAGUUCUUGUGAUCGAAUCAGAUAAUCUGGCAGCCGCAAUAGCUGAAGAAGUGACUCGGGAUUCAAUAGACAGAAUUGUCAUUGGAGGCUCAUCCCGUAGUUUUUUCUCAAGGUACACUACCACCCUGCUGCUAGCUUUCGACAUUUGUUCUUUCUGUUUCUGGUACCAAUGAAUCUGUUUUGAAAAUUCCAGGAAAGCUGAUAUGUGCUCGGCGAUAUCAGCUUUGAUGCCGAACUUUUGUACAGUCUAUGUUGUUUCAAAAGGAAAAUUGUCAUGCGUCCGACCAUCAGACUCAGACGGAAAUGCUACUAUAAGAGAUGAUGGUAGUGAGAGAACUAAUUCUUCAAGCGGUUCUUCUGGUCCCACCUCAGGUCCAUGACUCAUCAAUGUAUUUGUGUGAAUACUCUACUAGAAAUGGUGUGUAUAUCUAAUUUUGUUACCCCAUUUUCUCUUCUAGAUGUAAUGUCAAGUGUGCAUGACUCUCAAUCUCGUGCUCUAUCCCUUCCGGUCAGGAGAAUGCAAAAUUUCCCUACAAUUGCAAGACAAGCAUCAGUUCCAAUGGAAACGAGUUCUGUUGGCUCGGAUGAAACCAGGUGCAUGUCUUUGGAUGCAGAGGAAGCUAGAGAUGUUUCAAGUAUCAAUAGAAGCAGCACGGAUACUACAUCACGUUGGACUCCUCGGCUUAGAGAUUACGAGGAGAGAAAAGAAGCUAUGAGUUCUUCUUCUAGCAACCGUGAAUACGGGAAUAUUGGUAGUAGAUUUAGUUGGACUGGCAUGGGGGUCGAUAAUACGCACUCUCGGGCUUCUCAACAAGCUUCCAACAUGUCUGAUGCUCUAAGUGAACAAUCUUAUACAGACAGCCAGGUAUAAAAUGCAGUUUUAAUUUCGAUAUUGUCUUGUGAAUCAGAAAAAUAUAAGGUUUUUUGUUCAGGUAAACCUAAACUUUGAGGUUGAGAAGUUGAGAGCUGAGCUUAGACACGUUCAAGAAAUGUAUGCUAUGGCUCAAACCGAAACUUUUGAUGCUUCUCGAAAGGUGAAGGCCUCAUGAUCUCAUAUAUCUUUGCAUUUGAUGAAACUUAUUAAAUUGUGCUCAAUGCUUUUUUGAAAAUGUUUCAGCUUGGUGAGCUUAACCAACGUCGGUUAGAAGAAGCCAUAAAGCUUGAAGAGCUAAAACUGAAGGAGUACGAAGCUCGGGAGUUAGCAGAAAGGGAAAAGCAGAAUGUUGAGAAGGCGAGGAGAGAUGCAGAGAGCAUGAGAGAAAGAGCGGAGAGAGAAAUUGCGCAGAGAAGAGAAGUCGAGAGGAAAUCCGCACGUGAUACUAAAGAGAGAGAGAAGCUCAAGGGCACUCUCGGAUCUCCUCAGCUUCAAUAUCAGCACUUCGCUUGGGAAGAAAUUAUGGCUGCCACUUCAUCAUUCUCAGAAGAGCUGAAGAUCGGAAUGGGAGCUUACGGAGCUGUUUACAAGUGUAAUCUGCAUCAUACAACUGCAGCUGUCAAAGUUUUGCAUUCUGCUGAAAGUCGACUGUCCAAACAAUUCCAACAAGAGGUAUAGAAGUAGGCUUGAGCAUUCGGUUUCGGUUUUUGUGCUGAUCCCUUUAUGGAAGUUUAGUUUUAAUUCUUGUGGAAAGUCAUCUCUGUUCUAAGAAGCUGCAUUUUAUUUAAUCUCCCUGGUAUCUCUACUUUGCAGCUCGAAAUCUUGAGCAAGAUUCGGCACCCACACUUGGUUCUCCUUCUAGGAGCGUGCCCGGAGCAAGGAGCUUUAGUUUAUGAAUAUAUGGAAAACGGUAGCUUGGAGGAUAGACUGUUCCAGGUCAACAACAGUCCGCCACUCCCAUGGUUUGAGCGGUUUAGGAUAGCUUGGGAAGUCGCAGCGGCUCUUGUCUUCCUCCACAAAUCAAAGCCUAAACCGAUCAUUCACCGUGAUCUUAAACCUGCAAACAUCUUACUUGAUCAAAACUUUGUCAGCAAAGUUGGAGAUGUCGGACUUUCAACGAUGGUUCAAGUCGAUCUUUUAUCAACUAAAUUCACUAUAUACAAACAAACAAGCCCCGUGGGAACAUUAUGCUAUAUUGAUCCCGAAUAUCAACGCACUGGAAUGAUAUCAUCGAAAUCAGAUGUCUAUUCCUUUGGAAUGAUUGUUCUUCAGCUUCUCACAGCAAAACCUGCUAUUGCAUUGACACAUUUCGUUGAGAGCGCAAUGGAUAGUAAUGAUGAGUUCCUCAAGAUCUUAGAUCAGAAAGCGGGUAACUGGCCGAUUGAAGAAACCCGGGAAUUGACCGCAUUAGCUUUGUGUUGUACAGAGCUACGCGGAAAAGAUAGGCCUGAUUUAAAAAACCAGAUUCUUCCGGCGCUAGAAAACCUGAAGAAAGUAGCUGAAAUGGCAAGGAACUCACUUUCGGGCGUAUCGACACAGCCUCCCACUCAUUUCAUCUGCCCAUUACUAAAGGUAACUCUAUAUGAAACCUUGUUCAAAAAUGUUGAAACAUCACAUCCUGUUAUUGUGUGUUGUGAUGAAAAUGUGAGAGCAUGUGUGUAUAAUAAUAAUGCAGGACGUGAUGAACGAGCCGUGCGUUGCAGCUGACGGGUACACAUAUGACCGUCGUGCGAUAGAGGAGUGGCUUGAGGAGCACGACACAUCGCCGAUGACGGAUUCACCAUUGCAUAGCAAGAACCUAUUGCCAAAUUAUACUCUUUACACAGCUAUCAUGGAAUGGAGGUCUACACGAUAGUAAGCCAAACUUGUGUAGCGCUGUUCUGGAUAUAUAAAACGGCAAGACGUUCUCAGACCGUCCCUUUCUUUCAAGCGAUGAUAUUGCUUUGUACUUACGAAAACGAAACCUUGAAUAAUCAAUCUUGUAAUCCAACAAUUAUAAAAUUAGAAGGAGAUGGUCUUAUUUGAUUCACAACGGUUUAUUCGGAUCCAUCCGUUAAUUUGACUCCAAAUAUUAAGAAGACAGAACAAAACCAUUGCCUUAAAUCUAUUUAUUUUCCUUUUUGGUAUUUUGGUCUCGAAACAGAACCUUUCUCCGAUAAUCCUCUCUCAUUUCUCCAUUGAAAAAAGGGACCUUGAGGGGAAAGGUUUUACUGUUUCUAGGGUUUCUAUAUUCCAUUUCCUCAUCAUUGGAGAAUGGAAAUUCUCCUCUUCUCUCUGAUUUUUCUUCAGAUUUCGGUUAUGUCCUGAAUCUCUUGAAGAUUUUUUUUUUUUUUUUUUUUGUUAAAGUUGAUUCUUGAAGACCCAAUUGCAAAAAUUUCAACUUUUUUUUUUUUUUUUUGUUUUAAUUUUCUCUGAGCGUUUCUGGCAAUAUACAAUGCGGAUUUUCGUGAAUCUCCUUCUCUUCUCCUUGUGUCCUCUCGCGUUCUCGAAUGAAAACUCCAGCUCGUAUCUCAUUUCGCGACCAUUGAUCUUCGAGACCCAGCUCAAGAACAUGGACGACAAUGUCAAUCUACAUUGCACGAGCUGGAGAUUCGCGGCGGAGACAAACAAUCUCGCUCCAUGGAAAACCAUUCCAGCUGAAUGCGCCGAUUACGUUUAUCAUUACCUGAUGGGUGAAGGUUACGUCGUCGAUGUGGAGAGAGUCUCCGAAGAGGCUAAGCUCUACGCGAGCAGCUUCCAAUCUAACGCUGACGGGAAAGAUAUUUGGAUUUUCGAUAUUGAUGAGACGCUUUUGUCGAAUCUUCCUUAUUAUAUGGAACACGGUUGUGGGUAAUAAAUAUAUCUUUUUAUCUUUCAUUUUACAACAUCGCUAUAAAAUUUGGUUUCUUGAUAACUAUAUAGAUGAAUUUGUCUUUUUAUUGUGUCGAAAGAGUAAAGAUUUGAGGUAUGUGUUGUUGUUGUCUGUCUUUUUUCUUUGCUUGUUUGUCUGUGUUCCCAAAUGUGAAAUCUGUCUUCUUUUGUUGAAUUACCUAUUUACCAGUAUAUGUGUUCUGUGUUUGGGAAUUUGCAGGUUGGAAGUUUUUGAUCAUUCCAAGUUUGAUAAGUGGGUGGAGAAAGGGAUAGCACCUGCCAUAGCACCAAGCUUCAAGCUUUACCAAAAGGUUGUAGAUUUGGGGUACAAAGUUAUCUUGCUUACAGGGCGUAGAGAGAACCACCGGGUUAUCACUGUUGAAAACCUGCGCAAUGCCGGUUUCCAUAACUGGGACAAGCUUAUUCUGAGGUAAAGCAACUCUACUUUCAGCUUUCUUGGGCCUCCAUUACAAUGUAGCUCAUACAGUUUGUAUCCAAUUCUUGAUCUUGAUCGUAGUUGUUGUAACAUGACAUUAUUUGAUGACAUUAUUUGAUAUUGGAUGAUUGACGCUUUGGUUUGCUGAUUUAUUGUUGUUAACAGAUCGUUGGAUGAUCGGAACAAAACAGCGACCAUGUACAAGUCAGAGAAGAGGGAGGAGAUGGUGAAAGAAGGGUAUAGGAUCAGAGGCAAUUCAGGUGACCAAUGGAGUGAUUUGUUGGGCUCUGCAAUGUCAGAAAGAUCCUUCAAACUUCCAAAUCCAAUGUAUUAUAUCCCCUGAAGGGAUCAACUAGAAAGCGAAUUAAUCAGAGCAAUUCAGGUUACCAAUACGAGCAACCUACUGUUUUUGAUGUUUUGGUUGCCAUGUAAUCACUUGCUAUAAGUAUAUGUACUAAUGACUGCAUCAGCUUGAGUGUUUAAAUUUACCCUUAAAUUUAUAGCUUCUUGAAAAGCUUUUUAAGCUUAAAGACAAAUCCAAUCAUUAAAGAUUUUAAAACCAAUUUAACUAUCAUUAGUUUAACAAAACAAGACCUUUUCCAUAUAUAGACCAACGUUACCACUUACAAAGAAGCCAAAGAAAGUACAUACAACAUCACACUUAAAAAAAAAAACAUAUAGUAACACACAUAAAACAUUACUUAUAACAAAAAGAUUAAAAAAAAAAAACUGCAUAUCGGCUUUUAUUAUCUCCCCUGAUCAAAUUCUAAACACUUUAUUCCUCAUAAACUAACUCCCCGACAUCGGAGUUAUUGGACUAUGAUGAUGACACCCGGGAAAUUUAAGUAGUGUGCUGGCCAACACGAGUACGGUCACGGUCAUGUUCCCCACCAGUAUGUUGCUGUCCGUAGUACUGAGCUCUGUCUUUUAGAUCCUGAGCCUUGCUUCCCAACUUCAUCCUUGCACUGUCCAACCUAUCUGAUCCCUGUGGGUGCUCUCCGGUUGCGUACCUAUUCACAAUCAAAUAUGCAUCAUACUAAGCAUUUACCUAUAUACAUAACAAGGUAGCUACGUCAACUUUUGUAUUUAAUUAACCAAAUGUCUCUACCCUAGAUUUUGCAAUUUAUUAAUGUGACAUUUUUUUUUUUGAAUCUAUUAAUGUGACAUUUGUUAAUCAACCAAACAAAAUUGAUCCAAAGCUACUGGCUCAACACAUGCAUGCACAUACAUAUUGUAUAACCUAAUGAAAUAAGAUGAUAAAUGUGUGCUUACUUGUAAAUCCAAGAGAAAACGGUUAUAGCUGCAAUGCCAAACCCACCAGAGGAGAGAAAACCGGUGAUGAGCAGUGCAACGGUGAUGAGAGCCGGGACAAGGAUUGGGCUGAAAAUAACGAGCAGAGGUGUUGCAACAGUCAAAGCUAUGACAGUUCCAACAAGGGUAAGGCUGGAGAGGACAAGGAGAGAACCACCAGCUGUGACA
Molecule: long non-coding RNA, 48307 nt
Filed under: Arabidopsis lyrata
Lineage: Eukaryota; Viridiplantae; Streptophyta; Magnoliopsida; Brassicales; Brassicaceae
Description: long non-coding RNA (ALYR_LNC000828)
Source: RNAcentral